This 57423-nucleotide long non-coding RNA is filed under the name Sorghum bicolor (sorghum). Its description in RNAcentral is "long non-coding RNA (SBIC_LNC011143)". The record is from RNAcentral. Lineage: Eukaryota; Viridiplantae; Streptophyta; Magnoliopsida; Poales; Poaceae.
CCCAAGGACUCCUUCGAUUUUUGGGAAGAGCUACACCAGGCUUUCACCGACAACUUCAUCGCCACAUGCGAGCAGCCUGGAAACAAGUACGACCUUGAAAGGAUAAGAGACAGAAAAAAUGAACCUCUGCGCGAUUACAUCCGACGAUUCUCGGAUAUGCGCCUUAAGAUCCCGAAGAUUUCCCACGACGAGGCCAUCUCUGCCUUCAUCAAAGGCCUGCGUUUCCAUGAAGCACUGAGGAACAAGCUGUUGCGCAAAAGGCCAACAACAAUGGCCGAGCUCCUUGCCACGGCUAAAAAUUACGCCGAUGCCGACGACGCAGAAAAACUAAUCCGGGACGAUGCGAGAGGUCCCGACCAGCCUCCUCGGCGAGAUGACAGUCGCGGUCGUUUCGACAACAGGAACCACCGCCGCCCCGACAACCGUGAUCAAAGAGAAGGCUGGGAUAGGCGGCGCGACAAUCGCGACGAUUUCAGAGGAAAGCGCCCCCGUGACCAUGACCACGAAGUGAAUACGGUCAAGCGUCCCAACGGGCGGCGGAACUACCAAGAAGACUACAACAAAACGUUGAAGGGACCGUGUCAACUGCACCCAAAGUCCAAUCAUACCAUGGAAGAGUGCCGCGUCCUCAAAAACAUCUAUACGCGGCGGGCCGCCCAAGACGACUCCGCCAAGAAAAAUGGAAAACGAGACGGGCACGACCACGAAGACGAGGACGAGGACCAAGAUAGGGACCCACGACACCAAUAUGUCAGUCCCACCGACGUGGUCCACUCCAUCUUCGGGGGCAAGGUCUCCAUCGAAUCUAAGCGAGAAAGAAAGCUAUUAAAAAGAGCCUGCCUCAACAUAGACAGCACGGACGGCCUGAUCGCAGACCCGAAAUUUCCCCCGUGGUCGCACAGGGAGAUCUCCUUCAGCAGGAAGGAUCAGUGGGCCGCUAUCCCAGAGCCAGGUCGUUUCCCUCUAAUCCUGGACCCUUACAUCAACAGCAUCAGAUUCGAGCGCGUGCUCGUGGAUGGAGGAAGCUCCAUUGACAUCCUCUUCCGCAACAGCCUGCCCGCUCUCAAGAUAUCUCCGGCACAACUAAAACCCUACGAUGCUCAAUUCUGGGGAGUCUUGCCAGGACAGAGUUCAGUGCCCCUCAGACAGAUAACAUUGCCUGUCUAAUUCGGCACGCCCGACCACUUUCGGACAGAGUUCGUCAACUUCGUGGUCGCCGACUUCGAUGGGACCUAUCACGCCAUACUAGGCCGACCAUCGCUGACAAAAUUCAUGGCGGUCCCGCAUUACUCAUACCUGGUCCUCAAAAUGCCUACGGAGAAGGGCAUCUUGACCGUCAGAGGCAACGUCUACACUGCAUAUACUUGCGAGGAAGAGAGCUUCACGAUCACCGAAGCAAUUGAUCUCUCAAUCCGGAUGGCAGAAACAGCAACCCAAGCCGCACAGCUACCUCCAGAUCAGCUCCAACUACCUGAGCAGGAGACCGCCAGGAAGAAUUCAAAAUCCAAGGAGCAUAAAGAAGUACAACUGGUCGACGGCAGCCCCGAGAAGACGGCCCUCAUCGGGGUCAAUCUGGACCCCAAAUAGGAAGACGCGCUCGUUAGGUUUCUAAGGGACAACGUGAGCAUUUUCGCAUGGAAACCCGCAGACAUGCCUGGCGUCCCACGAAACCUGAUCGAGCACUCCUUAAAUGUCUCGAAGACCACAAGACCAAUCAAGCAAAAGCUGCGACGGUUCGCUCGUGACAAAAAGGAGGCUAUUAGGACAGAAAUAACACGGCUUCUAGCAGCCGGAUUCAUAAAAGAAGUGUAUCACCACGAUUGGCUUGCCAAUCUGGUUCUUGUACGCAAAAAGAAUAAUGAAUGGAGAAUGUGCGUUGAUUACACCGAUCUCAAUAAACACUGUCCUAAAGAUCCUUUUGGUCUCCCUCGCAUCGACGAGGUGGUCGACUCAACGGCCGGAUGCGAACUCCUCUCUUUUCUCGACUGCUACUCUGGUUAUCAGCAGAUCUCGCUAAAGGAAGACAAUCAGAUAAAAACAUCUUUCAUUACUCCUUUCGGCGCAUAUUGCUACACAACCAUGUCAUUCGGACUCAAAAAUGUCGGAGCCACCUAUCAACGGGCCAUCUAGUAGUGCCUCCAUGACGAGAUUCGUGAUGACCUCGUCGAGGCCUAUGUAGACGACGUAGUCGUCAAAACAAGGUAUGCAAGCACCCUAAUCGACAACUUAGACCGAACCUUUAAGGCGCUAAACAGGUACAAGUGGAAGGUUAACCCCAAAAAGUGCAUCUUUGGCGUCCCUUCCGGUCUACUACUCGGUAAUGUCGUCAGCCGCGACGGCAUACGGCCGAAUCCUUCAAAAGUAAAAGCAGUACUCGACAUGCGACCACCCAAAAAUGUCAAGGAUAUUCAGAAGCUCACUGGAUGUAUGACCGCACUCAGCCGCUUCAUCUCAAGACUAGGAGAAAAAGGCCUCCCUUUCUUCAAACUCUUGAAGGCGUUGGAAAAGUUCUCUUGGACAGAGGAAGCUGACGCUGCGUUUACCCAGCUUGAGACCUUCCUCACUUCCCCACCUGUUCUCACAGCGCCUCAGCCCAAUGAAGACCUACUCCUUUACAUUGCUGCAACCGACAGGGUUGUUUCCACGGCAAUAGUGGUCGAGCGAGACGAGCCAGGCCAUGUCUACAAGGUCCAGCGACCCGUUUACUUCAUAAGCGAAGUCCUAAACGAGUCCAAGGCCAGAUAUCCACAAAUACAGAAGCUCAUAUACGCCAUUCUAAUAACAUCGAGAAAGCUAAAGCACUACUUCGACGGCCAUCGAGUCUUGGUAACCACCAGUUUCCCUCUUGGGGACAUUCUGCGCAAUAAAGACGCCAACGACAGAAUAGUAAAAUGGGCAUUGGAAUUAUGCCCAUUCUCCCUGGAAUUCCAGAGCCGCACCACAGUCAAGUUUCAGGCCCUGGUCGAUUUCAUUGCAGAGUGGACGGAUCUCAACGAGCCUCCCGUUCCCGAUGUCUCCGACCACUGGUCGAUGUUCUUCGACGGGUCCUUGAACAUCAACGGUGCCGGCGCGGGGAUUCUUUUCGUGUCGCCUAACAAGGAUAAACUGCGUUACGUCCUUAGGAUCCUUUUUCCGGCGUCAAACAAUGUUGCCGAAUACGAAGCAUGCCUGCAUGGCAUCCGACUAGCCGUUGAGUUGGGAAUCAAACACCUCUAUGUCUAUGGCGACUCCACGUGGGUUAUCAACCAGCUCAACAAAGAAUGGGACGCGACCCACGAAAAGAUGGAUCUCUACUGCAAAGAAAUUCGCAAGUGGGAGACCAACUUCUACGGCAUAGAAUACAUCCACGUGGUCCGGGAUAAGAACCAAGCAGCAGAUGCGCUGUCAAAGCUAGGGUCAUCUCGGGCCCAGAUCCCACGGGGUGUUUUCGUCCAAGAUAUCCAUGAGCCAAGUGUGGGCUCCGGCCUGGUCGAAAAGCAACCUACGGAAACAAUGCUCAUAGACGAUGCCACCCCGGCAACCAGUGGCCGUGAUUGGCGCACCCCGUUCAUCAGAUAUAUAUCGGACGGGUCAGGCUUUCAGGACAAAACAGAGAACGAGCGCCUCAUUCGACGAUCAAAGAAUUACAUACUGGUGGACGGCAAACUUAUGCGAAAAAAUGCAAGUUCUGAAGUGCUGCUCAAAUGCAUAUCCCAAGAUGAUGGCAUCAAGCUCCUAGAGGACAUACAUGCCGGAUCCUGCGGCAAUCAUGCUGCAUCGAGAACGCUGGUCGGGAAAGCUUUCCGGGCAGAUUUUUAUUGGCCAACCGCGGUCAGCGACGCAGAAAAACUGGUCCGACAUUGUGAGAGAUGUCAGUUCUUUGCUAAAAGGACUCACGUACCUGCUCACGAGAUUCAAACCAUCCCGUCAUCCAGGCCUUUCGCCUGCUGGGGGCUCGACAUGAUCGGGCCAUUUAAACCGGCCCCUGGCAACUUCAAGUUCGUUUUCGUGUUAAUCGACAAGUUCUCAAAAUAGAUCGAAUACAUGCCAUUGGUUAAAGCAACAUCCGAGAAGGCUGUGGAGUUCCUCAAUCAAAUCAUACACAGAUUCGGGAUCCCACACAGUAUAAUCACCGACCUGGGUACUCAGUUCACUGGCACUACAUUUUGGGACUUCUGCGAUGACAGGGGCAUAGUCAUAAAAUAUGUGUCAGUAGCUCACCCACGGGCAAAUGGUCAGGUCGAGCGCGCGAACGGAAUGAUCAUUGACGCCCUAAAGAAAAGGUUGUACACCGAGAAUGACAGAGCACCUGGUCGAUGGAUGAAAGAGUUGCCAGCUGUGGUCUGGGGUCUCCGAACUCAGACUAGUCGGAACACGAGAGUGUUACCCUACUUCAUGGUUUACGGCACCGAGGCCGUCCUGCCGUCUGAUAUAACCUUCGGUUCCCCCAGAAUUGAAAACUUCGACCAGUCAACAGCCGACAACGCCAGGGAUCUUGAAAUCAAUUGCAUGGAGGAAAAGCGUCUAAAUUCUUGUCUCCGAACAGCAAAGUACCUUGUGGCAAUCAGGCGGUACCAUAACAGGAACAUCAAGGACCGUUCUUUCAUGGUCGGUGAUCUGGUGCUCAGGUGGAAAACAAGCCAGGAGGGCAUGCACAAGCUAUCCACUCCCUGGGAAGGACCCUUCGUGGUCGCCGAAGUCACACGACCCACAUCCUACAUAUUGGCAUAUCCAGACGGAACACGUGUGCCUAACUCUUGGCACAUAGACAGACUGUGCCGAUUUUAUCCAUAAGUUCUAGUAACUUUUGCAUGUAAAUCCCUUAUAGCUGUCAAUAAUAAAAGUUUUUCUUUUUGGCUAUACUUUGUUUACACGCAGAGCUCGGAAAGUCUUCUGCGACGGAAGCUCUUAGCAACUACGACUCAAACACAGUGGCAUGUCACUCAGAUAAUCGUAUAGCACUCAAAAUAACAGUCAUGACAAAAGCAAACUUUAUUACAAACUUUACAUACAAAGUUUACAAUAAAUACCCUGACGGGCGGACACUAGUCUACUCCUACAGACUACCCUACUGGCCUACUGCUCGGGCUGAUCACCCGCCUGGCCUUGCUGCCCGGACGAAGGGGUCGGGGCCACCGACGCUGGGCUGGUCGAGACCGCAGGCGUCGACCGCCCAUCUCCCGCAAUAGACGCACCAGACAGCUCCCUGGCCGACCUGUCUGAGCCCGGCUGGUCGGGGGGAGUGGCCGUUCCGCAUAGAUUGAUGUCGCCGAUCACCGUCGAUGACAAGUCCAGUAGACCACCCCGAAGCUCGUCCGCCUCCUGCGGGCCGACCUCCUUGGGAUACCCCUUCUCCAGCCUGGUCAAGUCGACCAGGGGGUAGUGGGCGCGCACCAUGCUGAGGAUAUGCGCGCCAGCAAACUCCCCGGCGUCCUUCACGAACUGUUGGAGCCAGUCCCGCGCCCGUUGUGCCUUUUCAACUGGCGUCAAUUUCGGUGCGCAGGGCUGGCUCUCCGGGAGCUCGGAACUGAUCAAGUCCAGGACCGGGGCCACUCCUUUCCAGAUCCUACAACAAUUAACCUUCCAGGAGUCCCGAUCCUUGACCAGCUCGUCCAGGUGCUUCUUGGUGUUCACUUUGAGCACUGCAAAUCAAGAAAGAUGUUAGUUUCAACAUAUCGAAAAGAGCGAUAAGCGGUAAAUAACGGGGGCGGCGCGUAUUACCAGACAACUCCUGGUCCCUCCGGCUCAGCUCCUCCCCUGCUCGGCGCCCGGCCUCCAGCGCCCCGGCAAGCUCUUGGCUGAGGUGCUCUUUCUCUUGUCGAAGGCGAGCAACCUCCUCCUCCAAGUCUACAAUAACACAUUCCUGGUCAGCAGAUCUAAUCACACAGCUAUAUGCAGCUGUUCGGAGAAUGCAACUAACCUGUCCUCUGCCGAUACUGAUCGGCUAGGCGCCGAGUAAGCUCGAGACGACGCUCUUCCUGAGCACUCAUCUCGGCCACCUUCUCACCAACCUCGGACCGCAGCCGGUCCACCUCUGUGGAUAAGGCCUUGUUCUCGGCCACUAUGUCUCCGGUACUUCGCCGUUUUCAUCGCGCCCUGCAAGGAAACACAUAUGUUAAGCACAGGAGCACUACAUAUACUUGCUGAGCAAUGCACAGACCACCUACCUUGACCUCGUCCACGAGACGCUUGGCUGCGCGUUCCACCCUCGCGGCCUCUUCCGUCUCCGCGAGUUCCUCGUGUCCAAUAAAGUGGUCCCCGCGUUGGCGCCACACAUAGACGUGCAGGCGGCCGUCACGGGGACGACCCUGGAUCUCUUCUACGUCGUCGUCAGAGGCCACUUGGGGAUCCUCGUCUGCCGCAUUACCUCCGGCCGCGGUUGUGGGCAUCACCGGCCCCUGGUCCAGGCAAGGGGAGCCCACGGGCGAUGAGGACCCUGCUCGGGGCGGUGUUGGGACCCCCCCCUCCCCGGCCGGAGGGGUCGGGACUCUGCCUUCCUCAUCCGCAACAGUACUCGGGGGAGGGGCCCUCGCUGCCUCUUCACCCCUCGGUGGAGUGCUCGCCGUGGCACUCGCCGGGGCAGAUUGCCCUUCGACAACUGUAGCAGCGGCCGCCGCCGCAGGCUGCUCUGUGGCCCGCGGCGCGGCGUCCUCGACGGCGGUAGCAGGCUCGGCCGUCCUCGCCUCCGCGACUUGGUCGGGGUUGACGUCUGACGCCGUGCUAAACAACAAAGCGACAUUUUCAAAAAAAAGUCGAAGUGCAAAAGUUGAACACUUACAGGUCUGAUCGACGGUGGGCUGCGGUGAACCUCCGCCUGGCCCUACCGGUCGGCGCCUGUGCUCCCGUCUCUGCGACGCUCGAUCAGUGGUGGUCGGCGCAUUGUCCGGACGACUGCGAGGCCUUCGGACCAACGACGGUGCGGCCUCCCCCUCCUCCUCGUCGUCAUCGGCGAUCCGGACGAGCCGACGACGCUUUGGCGCUUGGCUGCUCUCUGCUGGCAGCGUCGGCGCAGGCGAAGGAUCCGCUACCAUUUGCCUUUUCCCCGCCACUCUCUCCUCGGUGGUCGGGAUGGGGCGGGCCUGGUCCUCCUCACUGCUGGUGUAAUGAGUACACCGAGCAGCGUCUUCCUCCGGCGGAUCUUCCCCCGCAGGAUUCUCCAUUCCAGGUGCCAGUGACACAUAUACCGUGCACCGGUCAACAUCUCCGAUCUGCAAAAGUAACAAAGAUAAGUCAGCAGCAGACAAUAACGAAUGCUAAAGCGAAAUAAUCAGUAAGAUACCAUAGGUGCUGGUCGCCCUAACUUGAAGGCUUGCACCCGAUCAGUACCACGGACGAAGCCUCCGUCCGCAAAGUUGAACAGCUCGUUCAACAGCUGCUGCACCUCUGACUUCUCCAAGACCUCAGGACGCAUCCUGAUCGGGUCCACGCUUCCGGCAUACUCGUACGCCGAGUGCACCCUCUUCUGGUAGGGCAUCACCCGACGACACACAAAGUUGCCGACCACGCCUAGCCCGUCCAAGCGUGACCAGUCGAUCAGCUUCAUCAGGUCCGCCACUUGACCGUCGAACCCUGGGCGAUCGGUCCAGCUUACCCUCUUCUCGGGGAUGUACCCCACGUCGCAGAACGUGGAGCUCCCCGGUUCUUCUCUGAUGUAGAACCACUUCCUGUACCAUUCGGUUAGGGAAGUGUUCCAUGGACAGUGCAGGUAACGGUUCUUCAUCCCGUCGCGAAGGUUGAGGUAUACUCCACCUGCAACCUUGGAGCCUCCAACCGCUCCCUUCUUUCUUAAACAAAAAAGAUAGCGAAAGAGAUCGAAGUGCGGUUCUAUGCCGACAUAGGCCUCGCACAAAUGGAUAAAAGUGGAAAUAAGAAGGAUUGAGUUCGGGUGCAGAUUGCAAAUCCCGAUCUCAUAAUACAAAAGAAGACCCUGAAGAAAAGGAUGAACAGGCACCCCAAAACCCCUCUUAAGGAAAUCCUCGAACACUACGAUCUCACCGGCGCGGGGGUCGGGGUAGCUCUCCCCCUCCGGCGCCCUCCAGCCGCCGAGCUCCGGGCUGUGCAGUAGCCCCAUAUCGACGAGGUCACCCAGAGAUUUUGCGGUGCUGCGGGAUUUCUUCCAUUCUUUGGCCAUCAGCUCGGCCCUCUUCUUGGAGUCGCUCUUCACCAUUGGAGAUGCGGGAGUGGCUUUGAACUAGGAGGGCGCAGGUGGUUGAAAGAAGGUGAGAGCGGCAAGCUUGAAGGCAAUUGCAGGGUAAGCAAUGAGGGGUUAAUGUCAGGAUUUUAUAAACCGCAACUCCACCCCUCCCACUUCCCGCAUUCUCGGGAAGUGGGCGGGCCAUACGGCGGGCGCGGCGCUUCGGUUUUCAAUGAUUAUCGACAAUUAAUACGGCGGAGUUUUCGUACAAAUUGAUGGUUUCCUUUUCUCAAACCACGCAAAGGACGGCUGUACAGUUGCUAGGCGCAACUUUUCAUGCAGUCAUCUGACAUCCCGUCAGGAGGUCUCGUCACGUCAACUUUUAUGUGGUAAAAUUUUUUCCAAACAAGCAGACAAAAAUGGUAGAGAGUCAACAAUCCGGGGACUGCACCGACCACCGAGCACUUGAUGCUCGGGGACUGGUCGCUCAGUCUAUCAAUCCGGAAUUUCAAGGAAUACACCGACCACCGAGCGCUUGAUGCUCGGGGACUGGUCGUCAAAUAUGAUGGAACUGCACCGACCACCGAGCACUUGACGCUCGGGGACUGGUCGCCCAGUCUACCAAUCCGGAAUUUCAAGGAAUGCACAGACAACCGAGCACUUGAUGCUCGGAGACUGGUCGUCAAAUCUGUUGAGACUGCACCGACCACCGAGCGCUUGAUGCUCGGGGACUGGUCGCCUAGUCUAUUAGUUCGGGAAUCUGCGGGCUGUAUCGAUCUCCGAGCAUUGUACACCAGAGGACUGGAUAAUUUUAAUUUUUUAGACCUUGCUAUAAGGCUCAUACUUCGCCUUCCAGCAAGCUCGGGGACUACAUCGGUACGAUGCAUCUGGCGAUGCAUUUCAGACUCAAAAAUACUUUGAGGAAUUUUCUUUUGACCCUGGCACCACGUGCCUACGUCACCUACUACCAGGCUCGGGGACUAAGUGGGCACACUUCACCUUGCGGUGAAUAUGCUUGCUUUUUUGAGGAACCGUACUUUUUAGAAAAGUAAAGUGGGCACACUUCACCAGAGAAGAAAUAUUUUUUCUCAAGAGCACCAUGCAUUCUUCGAACAAUUGGCUUCUUCGAUGAUGAUGUUGAUCAGAUAUAUUUACAUUUGGUCAAAAUACCGUCGCAAUUGCCUGGGCAAUUUUCAUGCUGAUUGAAGAUGUCAAAGUCUCAUUGGUCGAAGAAGCUCAAGACAGUGUGUUACUUCACAAUACAUGGUGCUCGGGGACUAGCUGUGGGGGUAUAAACCCCUAUACCCUUACGGCUAGACUUGGGCCAGAAGGCCUGGCCCAUUAUGAGACAAGUACAAGGCUUGAUCCGACAGUUUGGAGUUUCGCGCAAGGAAACAAGAUGUGGAGAUCAAGCGGGAUUCUAGUCGGUUAGAAUAGGAAUUGAUAUCGAACUAUCUAUGACAAUUGUAACCGACUAGGAUUAGUUUCCAGAUCUGUAACCCUGCCCUCCGGACUAUAUAAGGAGGGGCAAGGGACCCCCCUAGGACACAUUAUUCGCUCAAUACAAAUCAAUACAAUCAGACGCAGGACGUAGGUAUUACGCCAACUCGGCGGCCGAAUCUGGAUAAAAAGCUUGCCUGUGUCUUGCGUCACCAUCGAGUUCGUAGUUUGCGCACCGUCUACCGAUAAACUACUACCGUGGGUAUACCCCAAGGCAGACUGCCGACCAGCUUUCGUCGACACUAGCGACGGUGCCCUCCACCAUCUCCAGCUCUAGGUCUGGCAACCUCCACCACCUCUACUCCAGAACCGGUGACCUCCAUUACAGUCCAUCACUUCUAGAUCCAGAUCCAGCGACCCCCAACACAUCCACUUUAGAUUUGGCGACUUCCAUCACCUCCAAUCCAUAUUCGACGGCUAGAGACCACGCCCCACUGAUGGCGCCCUCCACCACCUCCAACUCUAGAUCUAGUGCCCUCUAGCCUCCUCCACUCCAGAUCGACGCUAGGAGCGCACGCCCGGUGGUAGGAGGUCAGCUCUCGAGCUUUGGCGGCGGCAGAAACAAGGAGGAGGGUAGUUCCUAUGGAUCUAGGCAUGGACAGUGUGGAUGGGCUCAACGAGCUUGUCCAUAGGUUUUCCUUGCCUGUUCGCUGGUCUAAAAAGUCAUGGCUGAAAAUAUUGUUCGCUGAUUUAUCGUGAGAGAAAAACACUGUUGGCUGGCAAAAAAAAUACGGCUUAUAAGACAAGCGAACGGUAGAAAGGCAGGCGGUUUGCUCGCCUGAGGAAACUGUUGUUGCCCGCUUGUGAAAAGAAUAGUGUAGUUGUGAUUCAGCCAGAACAAGAGAAGAGUCCCAUUCAAUGUUUAGCUACGUAGUACUUGCCUUCCUUUUUUGGAGUGAAGCAGUUCAAACUAAAUUUGGCUUCCUCCUAAAUCAAAUACACCAAGAUCUACAAAUAUAAUCUUUAGACGCAUGCAUGGAGUAUUAAAUAUAGACGAAAAUAAAAACUAAUUGCACAGUUUGAUCGAAAUUGACGAGACGAAUCUUUUGAACUUAGUUAGUCUAUGAUUGGACAAUAUUUGUCAAAUACAAACGAAAGUGCUACAGUGUCGAUUUCCAAAUUUUUUGGAACUAAACAAGGCCUAAGACAAAGUGACAUAUUGGAACAGAGGGAGUACAUAUAUUUCGGGCAUAUACUUGGCUACUUGCUGGAGUACUUUGGAUGAGUUAGUGGAGCAUUUAGAUUUCAUUCAAGCAUGGUAGCCAGCUUGGUGCCAGAAUUUAGAUAAAAGGCCUUAAUUAAAGAAGCAUAAUUCCGCCUGGGUUGGCCCAGCUACACGCAUUCGGCUAGAUCGAAACUAUCUGAACCUUAGGCCCAGGCAACUACCGCACGGUACCAUACAUGGGCUCCUUUUGCAAGAUGAUUUUGCACAUAAAAAGCUCUCUGUUCUGUUCACGCACUAGGCUCCCUGUUCUGUUCUAUGCGCCUUCCCUUUUUGAGCAUUGCACUAUACUACAGAAACGCCAUUUAUUUAUUUUUUUUCCUGAUAAAAACACUCAAAAGAGUGUUUCAUAUAUGAUAUAUCUCAAAAAAUGAAGGCUAGUACAAACGAUGGACAAAAAAUAAAACACAAAACGACCACUAAAUAUAAGAGAAGUCAAAGACCAAAAUAGAAGUAUGUCUUCUUCUUCGGACAUCCACUGCCUGUUAGAGUUUGAAGGUCGUAUUGCAAGGAUAACAAAAGAAAAGGGUUGAAGCAAUAGGGAAUGAUUAUACCUUAAAAUCAACACGGUACGUCCCAAAUUACAUAUAAAAAAACUGAAUAAAAAGAAACAACAUUUCAUCGAAGCGCUUUCAUUAUUUUCUUCAAUAAUGGCUUUAAUUGAUGCACUAUUUUGCUAUAAUAGAUGAGCCUAGCAUUGUUGUGCCAAAAUCUACGGAGCAACCUCAAAACCUGAGCAUGUCGUAGGAUCCAACGUUCUGAAAUAAACUGAGAUGCAACUAAAUCAAUAAAACAAUAUUGACAGUUUGUUUUCUCAGGAACAACACAAUUUGCGGAUUCAACAUCUAAAACUCUCGAUCCAACAAGCUGGAUGCAUGCGUGGUUUCCUGUCGGAGUGCUGGCCGGCAUCUCGCUCCGGUCACGGCGAUCGUGAGCGAGAUUUUCUCUUGCAGUGGUCUUGACAUUCCCCGCCUGGCGCCGACGACUUGGCUGCGCAGAGCGGCGUGGGAUGGGAUGGGAUGGGAUGGGAGGACGGCUUGGGCGGCUGCGUGCGAUCCGCCAGUCGUGGCUGGCCACUCGCACAGUAGAGCAUGUCCGUGUCCGUGCUGUGUGCUUUUAAUUUGUUGGGUCAGUACAACACGUCCGCUUCCCUUUUACGUACGUACGUACGUACGUACGUUUUGACAACUGCUACUGUUGUAGCCUGCACCCUGCAGUAGCGUAUCGGCCCGGGCUACACAGACCGGCUGCGCAGUCCAGUCGAUCGCGAGCCACAUCGUAUAGGGACGUGCCGGGCGGCGUGCGCCUCCGUCUUUGUUGAUCCAUGUUCGAAAAGACGGAACAGGGUGGGACACACGUACGUACGUAAUUGAACGAGGUUCCCCCCCCCCGGACCUUCUCAUGCAUCGUCGUGUAUAUAUAUAAUGUAAUCGAGCCAGUACAGCAUGGGUUCGUUACGUAAUCGAGCCAUAGAGUGACAAAAAAAAACUGCAUUUGGGUAAUCGAGCCACUACACAAGAUGCAGGUUUUUGUCAUGUCUCUAUGGCAAUGUAUAGAAAACGACGAUAAUUUCGUAAGGUAUGUAUACAUGUGCACGACAAAGGCCAUGUUUAGUUCCUCGAAUAUUUUGCAAAGUUUUAAAAAUUUCUCAUCGCAUCAAAUUUUACGGCACAUACUAGAACAUUAAAUAUAAAUAAAAUAAUUAAUUGCAUAAUCGUCUAUAAUUUGUGAGACGAAUCUUCUAAGUCUAAUAAGUCUAUAAUUAGACUAUACUUAUUAAAUUCAAAUGAAAAUAUUAAAGUAACAUAUUUUACAAAAUUUUUAGCAAACAGCCAAAGACGAAACAUGACUCUAGGGAAGGCAGUGUGAUUUGACCCAGGAAAAGAAAAGGAUAAUCUCUCCGCAGAGAAAUCUGACCGCAAUCAUUGUCGUCGCCGGUCGCCGGAGAACGCUCUCUCGUGUCCGCGAACCAGCCGAAAUGAUAGCCGAUUACUGUUAGCGUGGUACAUGUCGACUAGGGCCUUAUUUAGUUAACUCUGAAUACCAAAAAGUUUUUCAAAAUCCUCCAUCACAUCGAAUCUUAUGGCACAUGUAUGAAACGUUAAAUAUAGACGAAAACAAAAAUUAAUUACACAGUUUAGCUGUAAAUCACGAGACGAAUCUUUUGAUCCUAGUUAGUCUAUAAUUAGAUAAUAUUUAUCACAAACAAACGAAAGUGGUACAGUAACGAAAACUUUUCACUUUUUGCAAGAAAAGGUAGCUCCCGUCAUGUCUCGCUCCCGUCCCAUCCACACCGACAUAUAUACAGGUCACCAAACAUAUUCAUCAUCAUGUCACACGCAAUCAAACAUACGGCCCCGCAUCGCCAAACAAAAUUUCCAUACCAAUUAAUUCAAACCGUCCAGUUUUGAAUUAAAGGCAUGCAGUUACAAUCAACUAAUGUAACCAAUUAACGACCCAUAUAUGAUAUCGAAAGGCAUAUCCUUAUUAAUCAAAGGCAUGCAUGUUACAAUCAACUAAUGAAACCAAUUAACGACCCAUAUAUGAUAUCGAAACGUAUAUUUAAUUUCACAUCCUGAAUUCCUAUGUACCUGCGCCCUACGUAUAUACUAGUACCCGCCUGCCCUCCUGCUACUGUGGUAGACGAUGCUAGCUAGCUAGCGCGGCUUCACUUCACGGCUGCUUCUGCCGCUGGUUCUCGAGGCCGACGGAGUUGUGCUGCCGGGACGGGCCGGACGGCGGCGCCGGCCUCCUCGGCAAGAACCCGAAGAAGUUGUUGGAUGCCCCACCCUCCAGCGGCCGGCCCUUGAACGGCUGCAUGCCGCCUCUCGAAGCCUGGCAGCAGCAGGUUGUUGGCAAGCAGAGCACGAGGACAAGGACGAGUAAGAACCAGCAGAGAAGCUGCAACUCCAACACAACCCUCUUGCUGCUGCUGUUGCUGCUUCUUCUUCUUCUCAGCUGCCAGCAGCAAUCCAUGAGUCUAGCUAGCUCCUAGAGCGAGCACUGGGAAGAGCUAGCUAGGCCGGAGGGAGGGAGAGGAAAUGGAGCCUGCCGAUGGCAAGUGUGUAGUGUGAAGGGGCUGAGAAAUGAUGAGUUUGGUUUGGUGAGUGCAAAAUGGAGAGAGGAGGGUGGAGGAGGCGGUGGAAAACUAUAUAUAGAGAGAGAGCUAGAGAGCAACGAAAACCAAAUGCGCAUAGAGAAUGUGCCUUUAUUUUCUAAACUAAUACAUAUAUGUGUAUAUUGUAUUAUUACUAUUACACUGUAGUAGUAGGAGCAUUGAGGCCUUGUUUAGAUCUAAGUUUGUUUUGAAUUUGGCUACACUUUCAUUUGUAUUUGAUAAGUAUUGGUCAACCAUGCACUAAUAACUAGAUUCAAAAUAUUCUCGUAAAUUACAGUUAAAUUAUGUAACUAGUUAUUUUUAUCUACUUUAUGUACGUAUCUGAAGAUUCAAUAUGACGAAGAAUCUUAAAAACUUCUUAAAUUUUGAAGUCAUGUAAAUAAGGCCUGACUCAUUCACAGUCCAGAAUGUAGGGACCGAAUCUUAUAAACUUUUUAAAUUUUUACCUGUAAAUAACAAUAUGAAUUUUUUGAGCUUAGUUAGUUUACAAUUGAACAAUAAUUGCUAAAUAAAAACAAAAGUGCUACGGUAUGCAAAACCAAAAAAAAAAUCCAUAACUAAACAAGGCCUUACACGCCGUCAGUACAGCAAGGGGCAGAGCUAACCAAACUGACAAAUUGGGGUUGUUUUCUUUACAUGAGCCGGGGACCGGCACAACUAGAAUUUUAGACUUCUCUUAGUAAGAUGGGUUUAUUCUACUAUUUUAGUAUUCAAAAUUUAGUAUAAAAUUUUUUCUACUAAAUGUCUUACAGUGAAAUUUGUAGGUGCUAUAACUAUUGAUAGUGUUUUAUUACUACUUAAAAACACUAAGAGAAGUCCAAUAUUUUGGUAGUGCGGGAUCAAGAUAAUUGUGAAGAAGAUAGUAAUCAAGGAACUACAUUAUGAACUACUAUAAACAAUGCAAAUUUAGGGUGGUAUAUACAUUUUUAUUGUGACAAAAGAAGAAUUAUAUUAGAUAAUAGCUAGGUACAUGAAUAUGAUACAAGCACUGCGGAUUACACAAAUAUCCAGAAAAAAUAUCUAAAUUUUACUCAAGCUGUGAAUAGCUUCGGAUCUCAAAACCAAACUUUGUACGAUGCUUUGUAGUAUGGAUGAUGACCGCAUAGGCAAACACUCAGCAAAAGGCCUGAGAACAGAUGCCCAACAAACGACGACCAAUAUUCAUAUAGGCAAAGUUGAGAAACUUCUUCUUUUCGGUGUCUUUCUUCUUCUUCUUUCUGCCACGGAAGAAUGAGAAAGACUGAUUGAAAACUUAUUCUUCCUCCUCCUUUGUCGUGGCCAGAUCUAACCAAGAUAAAACGAAGAAGAGACCGGAGAAAAUUAUUUCACGGUGGCGACACCAUCUCCGUCUUGAUAUCGUCGUGUGGAAAUAAAAGUCUCCAUGUUAUCAAAUCGGUAAGGAUGCCGACGCUAUAGUUGUUGCCCACAUCUUCAAUAAAGCUACCACAGAGAACACAAACCCUACUAUCUCACCAUCGCCAGAGAAGAGGAGGAGAAAAUAAAUCCCAAAACAAAAAAUCUUAUCAUGGAGAGACCAUAACCUUAAAGGACUCAAUCAAGUGGAAAAACUUAUUAAAACAAUAUAUCCCCACUCUCUUUGGCCUCUGGUGAUUAUCAUCGGAGGAGGAGGAGGAAAGAAGGAGGACCAAUAGUGAUGAAGGUAGGAGCUGCGGCGACGGCGACGUUGAGACGUGAGCUCUAACCACAGGUCGACGAGUUUGUGGCGACGCCUUUAGGGUGGUACAUACAUGGGCCGGCCGGCAUGGUCCUGACUUGUGUGGGUGCACCUACGUACAGAUCGACAUGCAGAGGCUGGAAAUAAAAGCUGUGGUCGGUCAUCAGUCUCUUAGUAGUCAUGGCGUACCCAGAUACAGUUGGAGACUUGAUCAAGUAUACUGCUGCCCACUCCACUUGGCCGGUGUGGUCGCGUGGAGGUGUGCACGGUGGGGCUCAGGAUGCUGAUCGCGCAUCGACGACGAGGGGGAGGUGCAUGCAUAUGCGGCCUGCUGCUGCGAGAAGAAACUGCACUACUGCAGGGCCUGCAGGGAAGGAGGAAGAUCACCACGCCAUGGGAUCGAAGAAGAAGAGAUCCAUGGCCGGCCUGGAGAAAAUGAGGACCCCUAUCCGUUUCCGGCCGAUUGGGCUGGUGAGGGCACUAAUUGCAUGCGUAGGUAACCGUCUCUGCAAUCAGUGGUACCCGUCAACGCUUUGUGUCUUGGCUUCGCUUUCGGGCCUCGUUUAGUUCUAAUUUUUUUUUGAAUUUUAAUACCGUAGUAUUUUCGUUUUUAUUUAACAAAUAUUAUCUAAUUAUAGACUAAUUAGGCUCAAAAAAUUCAUCUUGCGAUUUACAGAUAGACUGUACAAUUAGUUUUUGUUUUCGUCUAUAUUUAAUAUUUCAUGCAUGUGCCGCAAGAUUCAAUGUGACAGAAUCUUGAAAAGUUGUUCACAUCAAAAACCAAAAACUUUUCAAGAUUUCCCGUCAAAUCGAAUCUGCGGCACAUGUAUGGAGCAUUAAAUAUAUAUGAAAACAAAAACUAAUUACACAAUUUAUCGUAAAUCGCGAGAUGAAUCUUUUAAACCUAGUUAAUCUAUAAUUGGACAUUGUUUGUCAAAUAAAAACGAAGUGCUACAGUGUCGAAAUCCAAAAAAAUUCGGAUCUAAAUAAGGCCUAAACAAGACCUUUGCGUGUGGUGCCAUGUCUCCACGUGCUUGCUUUGGUGUACAACAUAUUUUUUUACACACUUAGAGAAUCAGUAUUUUCUAUUUUCUCUGUUACAGAUUAUAGUCGCUUUGUCGUUUUUUAUCUAUUUUGCUAUGUAUUUAGAUAUAAUAAUAUGUCUAGGUAUAUAGUAAAAUAGAUAAAUCUAAAAAGUCAAAAGGCACAACUCCACAUUAUGCAGUACUCAAAUACUUAAUGUUUCCUUAAUAUUUUUUAUGUGUUACUUGUGUAGUCAUGUUCUUUUCCCUCCAUUUCAAUGUAAGACACGGUUUCAUUUGGCAUUGCAUCUCAAAGUAGACUUUGACUUCCAGUUUCUCCUAUGCUAUAAUGUUUAUAGCAACACGAUCAAUAAGAUUAUCUGUGUGUUUGGCAAUAAUGCUUGUAUUAGUCUAUUGAUAGAAUUAAAUGAAAAUAUUUAGAGAUUUAUAGCACUCCCAAAUUUUCAAUGGAUGAGCUACGUUUCGACUCAAGUGGCUACAAAGUUUUUAUCUUUUGUUGAGUUAUAGAAAACGUUGCACCAUCAAGAGGGAUACAAAUUAUGUUGGUAAGACGAGGAUAAGGAUGCUCAGGUCUAUAUAUAUAAGAGACACACUUGCACUCAAGGGCACUUAGAAAAGUGUUUUUUUGCUAGGGUGCGCCGGUAGUACCGACGGUUUUAGUCGGUGAUACUGGUAGGUCAAAACUCUGCUCUAGUCUCCGUCUGAAGGUUGCGCAAAAAUGAACUACAGGUGGUACCGGAGUCGGGCUGGUAGUACCGACAUGCGUCGAUAGUACCGACAGGCCAAAUUUGCGCAAGCUGUGAGGUGCACAGAAUUGACCUGUCGGUAGUACCAGCCUUUUGCCGAUAGUACCGACGCUGGCCGAUAGUACCGGCUCAAGCUCGGUAGUACCGACAGGCCAAUUUUGCGCACUUCCUUGAUGACUGUAGGAGACUUUCCAACGUUCAGAUCUGAGGGUCGGUAGUACCAGUGUUUGGCGUCGGUAGUACCGAUAGUUGUUCUGAACAUAUAUAUAAAUAGCUCUCUCUCUCUCUUCACUUCUAACCUUGCGCACUUUACUUCUAACAGAUAGUUGACUCCACUCUGAGAAAACAACCUCCAAGCUUUGACUCACCCACUCUCUCUGCCUCCUUGCUCCUAGGCUUCAAUCCUUGAAAGAUUCGAGCUAGAGAAGUGAGAUUUGAGAGUUGGGAGCUUUGAUCCGCGACUUGAGCACUUGGUUUCUUCGUCUUGCUGGUUUGUUUGCAUUUGUUACUCUUGGGUUCUUGGAACCCUAGCCGGCUAGGCAUUCUUUGUGGUUACCCGUGUUGAUUCAUUUGUGAGGACACCCUGAAGUGUUUGUAUCAGCCUUUGAUUCUUAGUGGAAAUCUCGAUCUAACCUUCGUGGUUGCUUGGGAGAGGAGACCUAAGUGGUCGGACCUUCGUGGUCGCCUCAACAACGGGGACGUAGGAACUCCUUCGUGAGAAUUGCUGAACCUCGAGAAAAAUAUCUUGUCUUGCUGUGGAGGUAGCAUCAACUACCCUUGUUCUUGUGUUCUUCGUGUUCUCCCUCUCUAUCUCCUUUCAUAGAUGAACAAGGCCCGAUCUAUGUUUUGGAGAAGAGCCAAGCCCAGGGAACUUCGACAUCAUCCUCUACUACAUCUAGGAGAAUGGAGUAACUCUGAGAUCUAAAAUAAAACUCAAUAUACUCCGAUUUCAUAGCUCUCUUAGGGCGUCGGUAGUACCAACAGUUUGCGUCGAUAGUACUGGUUGUCUUACACUAGUAGUACCGGCCCAAACUGUCGGUGGUACCAAUAGGCAUUUAACUUCCGCAACAUGAGUUCUUGAGUUUUAGGUUUUUAAGAUACGCAUAUUCACCCUCCCUUUAGGCCAAUUAGAUCCUUUCAAUAAGUGAACAUGUCAAAUUAUGAAGAGCUAGUAGAACUACAGUUUAACCGUUACUAAUGUGUUUAGGAUUGUGAAACAACUUUGACAAUUUCAAAUGAGUAAGAUAAUUUAAUUUUGUAACAUUUGAAUGGUUCCCCUAAGAUAUGUUUCGAGUGAUCCACAAGAAUCUGAAAACACUAAAUCUAUUUUAUGGACUUAAAUAAUGAUCAUCCUGUCUGAAAUGCUAGAAUGAUUGGUUGGAGAUUGUAUUUAUUGAAAAUGGUUUGAGUACUAUUCUUUUACAUUGUAAUUAUGUCUAUCAUCUCUGAAUCUAUAAUCGUCACUUGUGUGGUUGUGUUCCAUUACAAUCCUAUCGAUUGAUUCAAUAUCAUCAGUCAUCAUGUCUUAACAAGUAAAAUAUAUCAUACAGGUUCCUCGUGACAUGCAGGUGCCCCAUGAGGAGGUACAUGAAUGUGUCUCCUGGAUUCUCAAGAAUUAUGGUUUCUGUCCUACUGAAGAAGUCAUCCGUGUUGGAAACCUGUACCUUCUUACGCUCUUGCUUUCCUUCAGUGGUAGUAAUUUGUUACUCAAGUAUUCAUUUGUUUCUUCUACUUGUUCUUGAAGCUAUCGUUAUGUGAAUGUGUUAUCUAAAGAAGAGUCACCUUGCAAAAAUGGUAUGCAAGCAUUUUCUGAUCAAAAUCUCAUUCAAAUUUUGAAGAAAAACAUAAGACCCAAUGAUUUUUUUGUAAUGGGAAACAUGGGAUGUGAAUGCCAUCAUGGAAGCUAAGGGACCCCUAUGUCAUCUUGCUAAAGCACAAAAGGUAAAGGUAUUUCUAUGAUCCUAUUGUAUUUCCCCAUCCCUUCAUGCGUAGGACAAAGCCACUCAUCACCCCGUAUGUCUUGCUUACCAUGUUUUCAUUUCCCAUUUCAUUAGUAUUCACCAAUUUUAGGUCAUCUUUCCUUAUUUUGGUAGUGCUUUAUUAUCGUAAGAUUAUGGCCAGUUGUUAUUUUAUAUCUCCCGUGCAUCUUUUGGGUUUGCCAGAUUGAGUCUUCUUGGGUUGAAAUAUUUGUGAAACAAUGGCAAUUUUGCGACAAGCUAAUCUCUUGAGCCACCAGGAAUGUCUUGUUAUGCUUUUGAUUUGUGGAUUACUGAUUCAGCAGCUUAUGUGCUGCUUAAACAUGUUCCAAAGUACUGUCCUAUCAAUCCUAUAAGGUCUGAGUUUUGCAUGAAAAAACAAUGGGAUUUUUGCAUGCGCCCACAUGCAAAAGGAACAUUGCAAGUUGGGGAGUUUGUCAUCCGUUCAGAUCAUGAUCUUUGUCGGACACGCUUCAGUUUUAUGUAUUCUCUCAUAUUCCAGCAGUGUUCAUUUUUCCCUUUGACCAGUUGAUGUAGCACCAAGUUUGGCAGUCCAACAAGGCUCGGUGUUGUCUUAUAUCUUCAGUUCUUAUUGUAAAGUUAGGGUGAACGAGAUGACCCUUUGGGGCUCUCGGUUGCAUGUUAAUAUAUGCAGAGAAUAGCCCUCUGCGUGGCUUACAGCACAAGAAGAUGAAUUACAACAAACUCUCAAAGAUCUCAUCUAGAUAACCACCUAGCUAGAUACAUGCAUCAUAUCUUCUAGUACAAGUAGCUAGUACAAGUAGUUACAAGUCAUCAUAUCUCAACAACUAAUUCUAAUACUCCCCCUCAAUCUUAGCCACUUACAAGGUUAAGAUUGUUUCUGAAUUUUCGUAAAUGUGCAGCCGAGAUUGCUUUGGUGAAACCAUCCGCAACUUGAUCGCCAGAGUUAAUGAAUCGAAUAUCCAGUAACUUAUGUGCCACUCUUUCUCUCACAAAAUGGAAAUCAAUCUCAAUGUUUUGUUCUCGCAUGAAAAACUGGGUUUGCUGAUAAGUAUUUGGCACCUAAAUUGUCGCACCAUAACCUCGCAGCUGAUGGAUGUGAUAUUCCCAACUCACUUAACAGCUUUUGCACCCACAUGAGUUCUGCAGUGGCGUUGGCUAACGCUUUGUACUCGGCUUCAGUCGAUGACCUUGAGACGGUAGCCUGUUUCCUUGCCAUCCAGGACACAAGAUUUUUGCCAAGAAAUACUGCGAAGCCUCCUGUCGACCGUCGGUCAUCCACAUCGCCGGCCCAGUCCGCAUCCGAGAACGCACUUACUAGCAUCGAUCUUGACUUCCUGAUUUUGAGACCAUACUUGAUCGUUCCUCGAACAUACCUUAAAAUCCUCUUCACAGCGCUCCAAUGAACUGAAGUAGGAGCGUGAAGAAACUGGCACACCUUGUUCACUGCAUAGGAUAUGUCAGGGCGUGUGAGCGUGAGGUAUUGCAAGGCCCCCACCAAGCUUCGAAACCGUGUAGCAUCUUCUGAACCCAGCGCCUCACCAUCAGUGAUACUGAGUUUUUCCGCGGUAGCCAUAGGUGUUUCAACUGGCUUUGCCUUGUCCAUGCCUGCACGAGAGAGAACAUCAUUGGCAUAUCUUUCCUGAGUAAGUACAAGUCCUUCUGAUGACUUCUUGACUUCUAUUCCAAGGAAAUAAUGAAGAUCACCAAGAUCCUUGAGUGCGAAGUCUUUCUGCAAAUCCUUUAGCAGUACAUUGGUUCCCUCUUGUGUAGAACUGGCAACGAUAAUGUAGUAAUCGCCCCUACUAUAAUAAAAUAGUGACGCAUCAGCUUUAGAGGGAAUGAAUCCCAAUGACUGCAACCUUUUACUGAGUCUGGCGUGCCACGCUCUUGGUGCCUGUUUCAGGCCAUAAAGAGCCUUGUCCAGCUUACAUACAUACUUGGGAUGUUCCUUGUCUUCAUAGCCCGGUGGUUGGUCCAUAUAUACUUCCUCUUCCAGGAUCCCAUGGAGAAAAGCAUUCUGAACAUCGAGUUGACGUAAAGACCAUCCUCUGGAAACUACAAUUGACAACACAAGCCGUAUAGUCGCUGCUUUUACAACCGGACUGAAGGUGUCUUCGUAGUCAAGACCAUACCGCUGCUUGAAUCCCUUUGCUACAAGGCGAGCUUUGUAGCGAUCAAUUGAUCCAUCUGCCUUGCGCUUAACCUUGUAUACCCAUUUGCAUCCUAUCACAUUCUUCCCUUUGGGACAGGGUACAAGGUGCCAAGUCUGAUUCUUCAUAAGUGCUUGAUGCUCAUUGUCCAUAGCUGCAUGCCAAUUUCUGUCAUUGAAGGCUUCAGCAAGGGACGCAGGUUCCCCUGAGGCAGUGCUUGCAACCAUGCCCCACCGAACCGUUCCAUCAGUGUAUGUCUUGGGCUUCCUAAUCCCACGUUGAAGACGAGUCACCGGGCGCAGUGGAGGAGCUGGUGCGGCCGUAGAGGAUCCAGGCGCAGGAGCAUCUGGCAACACAAUCGUCAUGGGAUCCAGUGCUGCCUCUGUCCCCUGGGCGUUGGGAUCCGGCUGCGACACUGGGACCGGCGCCGUAUCAGUGUGUGGCACGGGUAGCGGUGUAGAAGAUCCAGACGGGAGAUGUACCUCCGCUCCAGGCGAGGACACGCGCUCCUGAGCAGCCGUACCUCGGACAGCAGGACGCGGUGAAUUAGCAUCAACUGCUGUGUUGUCCCCAGUUGGGACACACAUGAAAUGACGCUCGCCCAGCGCCGAUUCUGGAUCAGUUUUCUCCAUGUGUGCACCUGCAUUCAACGAGUUUCCUGCACAACUUGAUGAGGGAUUAGAAGGUAAUGAAGACUCAUUAUUUUGACCAGGCAAGUACGAUUCCCCAGAACUAGCGUUUGAGAGAUGUUCGGGCAAUAGUGCAAUUUCAGCGCGAAGUUGAGCGCCGGCGUUAGGAUGGAGCACUGCGAACGGGAAGACAUGUUCAUCAAAAACAACGUCGUGUGAGAUAUACACACGACCAACAGAGGGAUCAAGGCAUUUGUACCCCUUGUGCUUGUUGCUAUAGCCAAGGAAGACACAUUUUGUGGAGCGGAAGGCGAGCUUUCUAGAGGUAUAGGGCCGCAUAUUGGGCCAGCAUGCACACCCAAACGACCGGAGGAAGGUGUAAUCUGGUUGUUGGCCGUAGAGUCGGAAAAAUGGGGUGUCAUUAUUGAUAACUUUGGAUGGCAAUCUAUUGAUUAGGAAGACCGCAGUGGUGAAGGCCUCGUCCCAAAAUUUAAGUGGCAUGUGAGCAAGAAGGGUUAGCCCAACUUCAACUAUAUGUCGAUGUUUCCUUUCAGCUGCUCCAUUUUGUUGGUGAGCAUGUGGACAGGAAACGUGAUGGGAGAUUCCCAUGCGAGUAAAGAAGGGACCAAGAGCUUGAUAUUCCCCACCCCAAUCAGUCUGUACAGCACGGAUUUUUUGAUCAAAUUGUCGCUCAACAAGCAUUUGAAAAUCACGAAAACAUUGAAAAACUUCAGACUUUCGACGCAACAAAUAGAUCCAUGUGAAUUUACUAUGGUCAUCAAUGAAACUCACAUAGUAAUUAUUUCGACCAACUGAACUAGGAGCAGGACCCCAUACAUCAGAGAAAAUAAGAUCCAACACAUUAUUUGAAACACUAGAGGAUCUAGGAUAGGGCAAUUGAUGGCUCUUUCCCUUUUGACAGGCAUCACAGAUGCUAGCUUUAUUCGACUCUUGGAUGAAAGGAAGCUUGUGGUGGUUGAGCACGCGCUGAACAAUGGAUGAUGCAGGAUGCCCUAACUGAUGAUGCCACAAGGACGCAGGAAGCUUGGUUACUCCAAGCACCUCUUUAUUUGAUCGCACGGGGUAAAGACCAUCCUUACAUGGUCCGGUGAGAAGUAUUCUCUUCGUCUGCUGCUCCUUCACACAAAAGUGAUUGGGGUAAAACUCAAAGAACACAUUAUUAUCACGAGCUAUACGGUUGACAGACAGAAGAUCUUUGUGUGCAGAUGGAACAUGAAGAAUGUUUCUAAGAUGCAGCUUACUAGUUGGGGAACGUAAAAUGCCAUGACCAAUAUUUUGAAUCUCCAUACCUGAGCCACUGGCCGUGUGAACUUGGUCACCGCCGUGGUAUUUAUCGCGAGUUGUGAGCUUCUCCAGCUCACUCGUGAUAUGAUCGGUCGCACCGGUAUCCAUAUACCAGUUGGUGUCGAUGCCGUAUGUCGAGGAAGUAGCCGUGGACGCCAUCUUCUGCGGAGGCCCAGUGAAGUCACGAUCAAAUCGCUUGAAGCAGCGAUAGGCUGGGUGGCCUUCCUUCCCGCACACUUGGCAGAUGACUCCUGGUUGGAAGGUACUCCGGCCGCCGUUGUUGCCAGCACCACGGCCAAAACCGCCGCGGGAAUUGCGGCCACCUCCGUUCCUGCCUCCGCUGCCACGGCCACCAUUGCCACGAUGAGGAUGGCCACCGGUGCGAUUUCCUUUGGUUGCCAUGUUCACCGAGGACUGACUGCCCCCAUUGCGCAUGUCGAGGCGUUGCUCGUGACUGAUUAGCUGCGUAAACAGUUCGCUAAUGGAAAUUGGUUCCACUCGAGCUGCAACAGCCGUCGCAACUGGAUCAUAAUCUGGAUCCAGUCCAUUGAGGAGGUAAGAGAUCAUCUCCUCGUCUUCAAGUUUGCGCCCUGCCACCGCCAUCUCGUCUGCUAGGGACUUGAUCUUUGCGAAGUACUCGCUGACGGUGGAGGUGCCUUUAGUGGCAUUGGCGAGCGCCAUCCGGGUGGAGAUCACCUUGACGCGGGACUGCGAUGCAAACAUCGCCCCAAUGGCCGCCCAUGCACCUUUGGGCAUGACUUCAGUGUUGACAUGGCCAAGAAUCUCUUUGGAGAGAUUUGUGAGCACAUAGCUCAGGACCAUCUGGUCCUUGGCCACCCACGCGGCGUAGUCAGGGUUCGCCUUGGGUGGAUCUGCUUCCUUCCCUGCCUCAACCGGCAGGUAUUUCGCCGGCGGCUCAGCAGUGCUCUCCAACCAGUCGGCUAGUUGGGCACCUCUCAACGCCGACAGCAUUUGUGCCUUCCACGAUUGAUGGUUGGCACGAUUCAGCUUCUCGGUCACCGGAGGAAGAAAGGCGGCGAGCGAGAGUGCAGCAGAAACUCCUAAGGAGGACGAAGCGGAAGCCAUGGAAGCAAUCCGUGUGGAAGAAGGCUCUAGAUAUCAUGUAAAGUUAGGGGAACGAGAUGACCCUUUGGGGCUCUCGGUUGCAUGUUAAUAUAUGCAGAGAAUAGCCCUCUGUGUGGCUUACAGCACAAGAAGAUGAAUUACAACAAACUCUCAAAGAUCUCAUCUAGAUAACCACCUAGCUAGAUACAUGCGUCAUAUCUUCUAGUACAAGUAGCUAGUACAAGUAGUUACAAGUCAUCAUAUCUCAACAACUAAUUCUAAUACUUAUAUAUUCUUACUAUAUUCGUACUGCUUUCACUUUGCCCUUUGACAGGUUGUGUCCCUUUCCCCGUUGACUAGGUAUAUCUUGCAAAAAGAUUUGCCCUUUUGUUUUUGUUAGGUCAGUUUGGGCUGGAAAAUGAAUGGUAAGUUGUCUAGAUUGUGGUUUGAGUAUCAAAGGUUGGUUCUCUUUUGCUUGGAACAGUUAGUCUUGUCAGAUGUCGUAAGCUGCACAAAGCCCUGAAAGGCUAAAAUGAAUGUGUUAAUUUUGAAAAGCAUGUCUUAUGGCUCUUUCACUGCCAAAAUACGAAAUGUAGGUGGUUUUUUGCAUGCCCUAAUUUAGAGAACGUCACUCUAAAAAAAACAUGCUUUUGUACAUUUAUGCUGGUUUCUCUCUUUGCCUCCAUUUUCUUAAUUUGUUGCUAAGCACUUAUGUGUGAUGAACCAUCAACUGGCUCCUGUUUUUUGAGAGAAUUUAAUGGAAGGACACUUCAAGUCAAUUCGCUUCUGUGAAAACUUGGGGCUGCCAUAGCAUUUGUGUUCAGUCAAAACACUCUCCUCACAAAGGAAUGGAAUACCUUUUACCUUUGAUGACUAUAAAUAUCUAAAAAAAUCAUCGAUUAACAAUGAUUCAUUAUGAAAAUAAUUUCAUAAUGUCUGUCUGUCUGUCUGUCUCUGUCUGUCUGAUGAGCUCUCUUUGGGCCGAUGGUUAUAUGCCUGGCCCCUGUUUUAUAUUUGUCAAUGUGAUAUGAUUAGAGAUAGGCAAGGAUAUUGUUGAUGGGUGAUAUUUCUAUAAAUCAGUCAUAGGAAUUCUUGGUCCUUGCCUACAUGUAUCUGCUCUAAUCAACCUAAUUAUUCAUUCAAGAACCAAUUUGUCUUGCAUGGUAUCAGAGGGUCGAUCCUUACCCUAACCCUCUGCACAACUUCUCUUCUCUUCCCAUGGGGAUCAACGUGGCUGACGGUAGGCCUCCCUCGUCUCGUGCUGCUGUCCGGUCAAGCGAACACCUCACUGCCUGCCACUAAGAGUGAGGCCAAGGAGAACUGCGAGCGAGACGCCUAGGCUGCUCGUGACGCUGCUCUUGCUCGUGCCUAGGACGCUGGGUGCAAAGCCGCCGCCGCUGCUGCCAAGGAGCGCGACGUGGCUGCCACCCACGCGCGAGGUGCCCUCGUCCGUGCAUUGCGCAGCAGCUGCCUUCGAUCCACAUUCAGAUGACGAUGUAAUAAGUGAGCUAGUAAAAAAAUCUCCUUAUGAUCGAGUAGCUUUAGUGAUGUUGCAUUUUCUAUGAUUAUGAAUAUAGCAUCUAACAUCUGAGUGGGUGCUGCUUUGAUGUCGUCCCAUGUUUAAAAGGAAGUGUUUUCUUGGCUUGUCCAUACAGACACACCGGAUGUUUUGUAUUUUCUGACAUUUCCAUAUUUUAUUGAACUUUGACAGGUGAAAAAUAAGGGCAACUUUAGUGGUGAGUCGAUUCACAGAAGAAAAAGGACGCCCACGUCAGUUUUAGAUGAGUCGGUUUCUAAGCUAAGUGGACCCUAUGCACAAAUAAACAAAACUAUUACAUCUAUGUUGCCAAAUAAAAAAAUAAUUUUCUACUUGCUUUUGUCCGAUCAUUCUCUCAUCAGCCGUUCCUGCUUUUUUAUUUUAAUCGUUCUUGCCGGCAGUGAGUCGACUCAUGCAGGUGAAUCGGUUCAAUCUCUCUCAUCGAAUGAGUCGAUUGCUCCAGUGGUACGAGUCGACUCAUGGCUUGCCACCUCAUCCCAUGAGUCGCUUUUCAAAGCCCACUGGAGAAGCCCUAAAGGACCUAGAGGAUGGGAACUCAAGUAUGCAAGGAGAAGUUUUUUUUUUUUCCAUGUUGGAGAUCAGUAUUAUCAUCCCGAGUGCUUGUGAAUAAAUCAGUAGGCCAAGGAUCUUCCCCAGCUCCAGAUCUUAGUCUUGGUCUGUUGGAUAGGGUUCGGCAAUUAAGAAAUUUUCAACCCACAAGGACGUUUUGUAGUGCUGCAUUGCCACUGUUGAAGAUUUUGAGGAAUGCAUGAGCAGGAGGUAGGCCAUAAGUCGCUGCAGCUUAUUUGGCUGCAGCUGCAGCUGUGUGCCUGUGUCUAGUGUUAUCUAGAGCACACACGGUAGUUCUAUAUGGAAUAAACGGAAGGAAGGUCAAUAGGCUAAUAUUAUUGUUUUUGUUAUAAGUUUUAGUUCUUAGUUUUUCUUUGUUUGUAUCAGUGUGGAUCAAUAUGACUUUAUAUUAACUUGGAUACUCAGUUUCUUGGAUUAAAUUCUUCUAUUGACGUUAAAAUUGUUGUUAAUUUACAAUCUAAUUCCAUGUUGGUUAAACUAACUUGGUUUUGGUUCUUGGGAGGUAAAUGUUGUGCUGUUAGUCCAGUUUUAAUGAGGCCUUAUUAAAGUUUUAUGGACAUUAAAUAUGCUGAUAUAGCACCAUAUUAAUGAAGAGAGAGAUAAUAAUAGUUUUAUGAGAGUAGAGAGAGUUUGAUGGGGAUGAAACUCUUCUGCCCUAUUUCUAAAAUAUGGAUAUGUCUGAAAUUGGAUCACGAAGACUUCACUGAGGAUGGCUUUAGGAACUUUUUGUCUUUUGUUGUUAUUUUUCUUGUAUGUGCAGCUUACGUACCACUCUUUUUCUAUUGGAUAAAGAACAGGCUUCAACCAAAGAAAACUAGGUAGUACGUAUACACAGUCUUCUUGAAGCUACGACCUUGCAUAAUGUUUAACUUUGUGGUAUGCACGAAUGAACUUUAAAAACUAUAUAAGCGAAAGCCGCUUUGGUCGUGAUUAGGAUUGAGUUGGGCCAUCUUUUGGAUGCUUUUCCGGUCAAAGUGCGCAUCGAUGAGUUCAGUCAGGGCAGAUCAGUACGGCAUCGAGCUAAGGCCUUGUUUAGUUCCAAAAAAGUUUUGCAAAAUUUUUUAGAUUUUUCAUCACAUCGAAUCUUUAGACACAUGCAUGAAGUAUUAAAUAUAGAUAAAAAUAAAAACUAAUUGCACAGUUUGGUCGAAAUUGACGAGACGAAUCUUUUGAACCUAGUUAGUCUAUGAUUGGAUAAUAUUUGUCAAAUACAAACGAAAAAGCUACAGUAUCAAUUUUGCAAAAUAUUUUGGAACUAAACAAGUCCUAACUUAGCUCAAUCGGGGUUGUUUUGUUCCCUUGGACGGACGAGCCACAAGAGAUGGUUGGCGCAAAGCGUUGGGUGCGGCCAGCUCCUCGAUCAACCAAAAGUGCACUAACGCUAUCCGCGUACUAUAUAUAUUUCUUUCUUCCAUAUAAAGUGGCCCAAAUUGUCCGUGAUUUCACUCAAAGUGACUGCACACAAUGAUGCUCAUGCAUGCUGGUCGCGCAACAGGGGGAGACGAUGGCCGAGGUGGGGCGGGCAUCUCCAUUUUGCAUGAUGGGACUUGGAACAGAUUAAGGUCCAUGAUUUGACUGACACAAUGAUUAUUAUGCAGAUUUUUUUUCCCUUUCCAGACAAAUCUUCUGCCAUUAUAUUUAUGCGGUGUCGCUUCCGGUCUAAGAUGUGGAGUCCAUAAUAAAGUGACUUUUUUUAUCCAUUUUGUAGACGUGCGACUAGUAGUUUAGCUAUAAAUAAAUUUACCCGGCCUGUCAACAACAGUAUAAGCACAGAUAUGGCCUGUCAUUGGGGAAGCUAUUAUUGCCCUAUAUAUGAAGAAUCCGCCAUGCUCGCUGGGCACCAGCAUGCAUAUGUGCCAUUAAUCUGUGUGCCGGCAUCACAGAGAAUAUUUCGUCCAUCAGGUUAUUUUAAGCUUGGUCUCAGUUGGGUGCCUUGACUACAACAAACCAAUAAUGCAAUGUAACUAGGGUCUGGUUUAGUUUCCAAAACCAAUAAUUGGCCUAUCCAGCGCCUAUGCAGUAAAUUUCAGUCUUGUAUCUAUUUUUUUAUUAGAUAACUAGUUCUUGCUUGUACUAUAUGUUGCAAUCAUUUUCCUUGUUUUGCUUGUACUAUAUGUUCAUGCUUUGAGGGUCAGCUAGCUUCGUAGGAUCAUUUGGUAUUGAAAACUCUUGUCGAAUGGCGACGAAGAUAAAUGUGCAAAGCCGAAGACAAAUGCGUGAGGCCAAAGACAAAUGGCUCACUUGAGGAUAUGACAAAGACGAAGCUAGACCAACACGAAGUCAAUAUGAAUCCAACCUGUGUAGACCCCUUCGGCGUGCGAAGGCUCACCUCUUUCAACAAAGCCAAAGGAAUAAAUAAUUUUCGUUGUAUAAGGACCAAGUUGCCCCUAGCUGAAAUAGAGGUUAGUUUUGAGUGUAAUAGCAAAAUUAGGGGCAAAAGGGGAAUUGUAUAAAGUCGAGGGCUUCCCCACUAUAAAGAUCCCCUAACAUAUACAUUUUUUAGACAUGAAAUUUUUAUCGGUAAUGAUAAUGUGCGGGCGUCCGUCCAGUCCAGACGCCACGCACCCGGGCCUGCGGCCCAAUAAAUGAUGUUGCCGAACCAAUCUUAUCUAUCUCUGUUGUCCCUUUCCUCGAAUCGCACUCCUGCAGCGCUCGUGACGCUCUCCUCGCUCUCUCCUCCUCCUCCACUCCCUCGCUCUACUUGUGUGGUGUCAUGCCUCCCCUCUCUCUGUGACCUACAAGCCACCGGAGAGGAGGACGACAUCGAUGGCUUUCGGCGAGCUCCCUUCCUUCCUCCCUUCCUCCCUCCCUCCAUCCCUGCCCCUUUCGCAACCUUUAUAUCAUCAGAGAGGAGGGAUACGACGUUCGCUGAGUCGCGUCUUUCCUCUUUGUACCGCUUCGCGACCUCCAUGGAACCGGAGACGAGAACGACGGCGGUGGCUCCAAUGAGGUAGGUGGCGGAGGGAUCUAGAUCUGAGGCCUUCCUCCCCCUCUCUCCUAUCCUAGAGUCCUGGAUCUAAUCUGGCCCCUCCUCAUCUUCCUCCUCCUCCUCCUCUAGAUCUAAGGGAUGUGGUGGUGGCUAGGGUUUCGGUGAGCUCUUGAGGUUCAGCUCUCUCGUGUGUUGCAAUGGUGUUCUCCAGAUGUUGUAGCAUAUUUUCACUUGUUGUUUUAGUAGGCUAGGCUUCUGGCAAGCUCUCGGGUUCAGAUUUCACCUUUGUUGCAAUAGUUCCCUCUGGAUGUUGCAGCGGGUUUCAGUCAUUGUUGGAGUACUUCUUUUUUGAUAUGUUGUUUCAUUUUCUUCAGUCUGCAUGUUGCAGUAGUUUGUUGCCUAUUGUUGGAGCAGUUGUCGGGUGUUGUUGUUGUAGUAUGUUCAUUGUGUUUCAGCAGCUGCACCAAAUGUUUCAGCUAUUUUUUCUUUGUUUGUUUAUGUUCAAGGUGUUUCAACUUCAUCAUCCCAGUGUUGGAACUGUUGUCCUUUUUUGUUGUUGCACUGCUAUGCGUUCAUAGUGUUUUAACUGCUAUAAUUUAUUGUUACAGUAGUUCGUCGGGCGUGUUGCAAUAUCACGUUUUUGGUGUUUCAACGUCUUCAUCCUUAUGUUGCAGCGUGCAGACGAGGGAGGGGGAGGGGAGGGGAGCUGUGGUGGUGACUUUGCAGUUGAUUGGACAAUACUCCCUCCGUCCCAAAAAAAAGAGUGUCGUUUUAGAAUUUUAGACAUCUUAAUCAUUCGUCUUAUUUAAUUUUUUACAUAAAUAUUAUAUAUUUUGUUAAGACUUAUUUUAUCAUUAGAGAUACUUUACUAAUAAUUUAUUUAUUUUAUAAUUUAUAAAAAAUUUUUGAAUAUAACGAACGGUCAAACAUGAUGUCUAAAAAUAAAAAACGUUACUUUUUUUUGGAUGGAGUGAGUAUUUAUGAAAUAGAAACGAAAGUGCUACGGUGGUGUUUAUUUUGUAAAAAAAGUUUGUAAUUAAACAAGGCUCCAGACUCGUCUCUAUAAGGAGGUGCAUUUGCAGAGUCGCAGAGAACCAGAACCACACGCACACGGCGCUCCCGCUCCUCGUCCGCACCGGCGAAAACGUGCACCUACGGGGUCGUGUCGACCAAAGCAGGCACGGACAGACGCAGGCGCAGCCACACAGUCACACAACAGCCAGCGAGAAAGAAAAAAACGCCGUGCGACACCACACGUCCACACCAGCAGUCUGGGCCCAGUGCGGCGGGUUACGUCGCGUCGCGGACGUCGACCGACCGACCCCGUAUCGCGACGGCUUUGACCAUGGACCGACGACCGGGGCACUCCCUGCCUCACGCACGCACUGCUGGGCCUCCGAAUUUGCCCUCAUAAAAAACUUUUUAGAUUUAGAGACUAUAGUAUUUUUGUUUAUAUUUAUUAAUUAUUAUUUAAUUAUAAAUUAAUUAUAUUUAACAAAUUUAUCUUAUAAAUUAUAGAUAAGUUGUAUAAUUAAUUAUUUUUUUAAUUUAUAUUUAAUGUUCUAUAUGUAUAUAUUGUAUGAUUUGUUGUAAUGUGAAAUUUUUAAAAUAAAAAGAUUUUAGGUGAGACUGGACCAGGCAGCAGGGGGGAGUAGCCAGCCGGGAAAGCAACCUCUCACCCCGCCCCAUACGUCACCCUCAAUUUCUUCCUUUUGACUCCCCUACUACCUUUCCUGCCUGCCCUGCUUUGAACACAGCCCUCUUUUUCCCUUUCAUGUAUUCCACACCCUCUUUUCUAGUUUUUGACUAAAAAAAAGUACCUCAUGUUUGCAAAUAUGUGUCUUAUUCGUUUAGCUGAUAAGCUAUGAUAGAAAGUAUUGUUGGCUGAUUUAUUGUGAGAGAAAAACACUACUGAGUGGCUAACAGAUUCGGCUGAUAAACUCAAGAAAACGCUAAUGUGCUUGUAGAAUAAAAAAAUCGCAUUUGAGCUUGAUGAUGAUAAGGGGGUUUGUGGGUGCGAGGGGAGAUUUGGUAUGGUGUUACCCAUGUAGCCUCUCUGCAAUCAGAUACGGUGUUGAUAUAGAAUCUUAUAAGAUCAACCUAUGUAGCCUCUCCGCAAUCAGAUACGAUGCUGAUAUAGAAUAUUGUAAGAUCUAUCAAUGAGAACCACUUCAUACUAGUUUAAUCUAUCUAUGCUAAGUUAAUUUAUAUCAUUCUCACUAAGUUUUUUUUUUUGAAAAAAACAAGAAGCAUGUAUCAAUAUAUACAAGUUGAAAUAAACAUACUACCAAGACAUAUUUCAUGUAGAAUUUAAUAAAAGCUUAUUUGAUGAUGCGAAUAUUGGUGCAUUUUUAAUAUAAUCUCUCCACAUACGGAGUGUAUCUCCACAGCCUGGCACGCCGCUGGUUGCGUGGAAACACUAUGGACGUCACACCUUUGCUCCAAACCAAACAAUGCUACUUGGCUAUCAUGAAGUGUGGCGUGGCUGGUCGUGCCUUGCAACAAAACACUCUUAGAGUACACAUGUUUUCUACCAUUUUAUGUUAAAAUUGCCGAUUGGUAGAGCUCGAGAAGUUUAAUAUCAUGAAUUCACUAAGGUCAGUCUCAAUGCAUGUUUCAUGAGAGUGUCAUACACAUUAAAUAGGAUACCACAUAAGCAAAAUUGCUGACUUGGCAGGAUCAUUAAAUGAAGGAGUUUCAUCAGAUGUGAGAGGAGUUUCAUCCCCAUAAAACUCUUGUGGCUCAGUUACCUAGUUACUAGUAUUGUUAACUGUGUCAUUAAACUAUGCAUUGAGACUGGCCUAAUAGUGCCAUGAAUUCAAUACCACUAAAAGUUCGAGCCAAUAAUAAUUUUGGUUUUCUCCUUGAUUAAAACUCCGAGUUGCUAGAUGUUCUUUGGCGAGCAUAGAUGUUUUGUAGAAGAAUAUGGAACUCACAUGGAUUUUGUAUUUUGAUUUCUUGACUAUGUAAAUGUAUACGCUUCAACGCCAUAUAUAAGGAAAACAGAACCAAACAAAAAGGCUUUUAAGCGUGGAAGGAAAAUAUAUAGUGUUUGAGGGGUACACGUGAAGACUUCUCCCGGAGAGGGAAAAAAAAAUUGUAGUAACUGUUACGUUUGACACGAGCACGGUAGAGCCGAGCCGACGCGAGGACGACGACCACCAGUCCACCACCGUCGCUUUUCCUGGCCUUCCAUAUACCAGCACCCGCACCACCUCCACCUCCCUUUCCCUUUCUGGCCGCAUUCCCUCGUCCUCCGGCCGGCAGCCGUCGUCGCCAGCAGGAGCUUCCGAUGGUCCGGAAGGAGACGGCCAUGAGGCUGCCCCCGCAGCACCAGGCGCUGGAGGUCAAGAUCCCCAGCUUCUUCCGCUGCCCGAUCUCGCUCGACGUCAUGCGCUCGCCCGUCAGCCUCUGCACCGGCGUCACCUACGACCGGGCCUCCAUCCAGCGGUGGCUCGACUCCGGCAACACCACGUGCCCGGCCACCAUGCUCCCGCUCCGCUCCACCGACCUCGUCCCCAACCUCACCCUCCGCAGCCUCAUCGCGCACUGGGCCGCCUCCGCCGCCUCCUGCUCCCCCACCGCCACCGACAAUUCUUCGGCGACACGGACCUCUUCCCCCGCGAGCCUCGUCCGGCAGGUGGCUUCCGCCGGCGUCGACCCGUCCCCGGCCCUCCGCGAGCUGGCCGCCUAUCUCUCCGACGACGACGUCGACGACUUCGAAAAGAACGCGCUCUUGGGCGCCGGCCGCGCCGCCGAGACCGUCGCGUCGGUUCUCCGGAGAAGACCCGAGGAAACCGGCGUCGAGGGCGUGGAGGCGGCAACCAGAGUGCUGGCCAAGAUCUUGGCCUCGGACGGCAUCGACGACGCGAACAAGAAGCGGGUGGCCACCGGCCUCACCGCCGACGCGGCGGCCUCGGCCGCGUCGCUAGCGCGCGUGAUGCGCCGCGGUAGCGGCGGCCUGGAGGCGAGGGUCGACGCGGCGAGGCUGGCGGAGCUGCUGCUCGCCAAUGCCGCAGACGAGGCGGCGAAGGCGGCGGUGGCCGAGUCGUCCGAGCUGCUGGCCGAGCUGGUACGGCUCGUGGGCACCGUCGACGAGAAGGGCGCCCUGGAGAGGAACGCCGUGGACGCCGGCCUCUCCUGCCUUGCCGCAGCCAUCUGCGUCUGCGGCGGGUCGCGCCGCGCCUGGGCGCGCGGCGAGAUGGUGCGCCUGGGCGCGGUCCAGGCCGCGGUGCGCGCCCUGCGCGCCGCCACGACGGAGCCCGGCGCGUCCGCGAAGGCGCUCCGCGUGCUCGAGUCCGCCGUGGGCUGCGCCGAGGGCCGCGCCGCGCUGUGCGGUGACGCGGAGGAGGCCAUCCCGGCCGUGGUGGGCAGGAUGAUGAAGUCCGGGCGCGACGGCGCCGAGGCCGCCGUGGCCGUGCUCUGGGCGGUCUGCCACCGGUACCGGGACCGCCGCGCGGCGGACGCGGCCGCGGCGGCGGAGGGCGGGCUGACGAGGCUGCUCCUGCUGAUGCAGAGCGGGUGCUCGCCGGCGGCGAGGCAGAUGGCGCUGGAGCUGCUCAAGAUUUAUAGGGUGAACGCCAAGAGCUGCCUCGCCGGCUACGACUCCAAGACCACCCACAUCAUGCCCUUCUGAGGAAGCGAAGCGGACGAGAAUGGCUUGCCGGAAUCCUUCCUGGGCUAGCUGAUCAAAUGGAUUCGAUGAAUCGAUUAAAUUGCAGGCGAUGGUGUUCUUGUUCCUGUGAUGUUUCUUGAUAUUUUUUUCCAUUUUCUUUUGAUGUAAGUCGAUAGAGAAACAAAGAACAAUUGGUUCAUGGUGGAGGGGAGAAGAAUAAUAAUCUGUACAGUUCAUGGGUAGAGUUUUUGACAUGAUCAGAACAGGCACAGGGGACAACUUAACCAAAGAAUUGAUUUUUUAGGCCAAAGCAAUUGGAAGCGUUUGAUUAUUCCUCCUGAAAGAUUUGCGAAUUUUCAGAGAAAUGAUGAUCGACAGGAGAUGUGGAAUGAUAAGGUUGUUACUGGAAGCAAUAAUGCUUGUUGCUGCUCACAUCAAAACUUACGAAGAAGCUGAACGACGACGAUCACAUCAAAUGAUUUCAUUUCGAAUCAUUGGUCUGCACUUGUGGUAAUGCGUACGUACUAGGUUUUCAUAGAAGUGCUUAUCAGGCAACAAGUUGUAGAAUUGCCUAAUGCAGGAUGUCGUGGUCUGGACUAGAAGGACAGAUUACUCCUACAAAUCCGUAGUCUGAAAGCAAGAUCAACAAGACAUGGGUACAGCAUGCGCACUACUGGCCAUUAGGAUAGAAAAGCCUGGAUGGAGCACGUUCACGUUGCCGCUGACCAGAGCCCAUGAUGGAUUUGACCAGUGUAGCAUCACGUCUAGUUCACUCCACCCACUCAUGACUGACCCACAAGUCAUGAGACCAGAUGUCUUGGGUGAGCUCUAAGCAUAACCCAGCUAUGUAAUCCCAAAGUAUACUCAGUUUGUUUCUCGUCUUCACUAUUGGAAUAAUUUAUAGACCAGAGUGCUUGUCCCCAUGCCCAUCGGUAACCGGUGAAAGGAACGUUUUGUGCAUCAUGUUGCAUGUUUAAUUAGCACUUGAUCACUAGGCAAUCUUCGUGAAAAUGGGCCUAAUUUUCACACCUAGGAUCUUCCGGCUUAGUAUUGUACUCCUUCCAUCCCAAAUUGUAAGUUAUUCCAAGAAUCUUAGAGAGUGAAAUCAUUUUCACGUUUGACCAAAAUUAUAGAAAAAAAUACUAAAAAUUGUAAUGUAAAGUGAGUAUACUAUAAAAAUAUAAUUAAGAAAUAAUCUAAUAAUACUUAGUUCGUACCAUAAUAAUUAUCAUUUUAUAAUAUAAAUUUGGUCAAACUUAGAAAAGUUUGACUCUCCAAGAUUUUUGGAAUGACUUACAAUUUGGGAUGGAGGAAGUAGAUCGUACUGUCUACCAUCACAAUAUAAUUAAGUUCAUUAAUCAGAUACAAGAUCUUCAAUGUGUCAUUUUGACUACACUUAUGUAGGAAUAAAUAUCUUAUCUUAGACAAAAAGGGUUAUAUGCUAUGUUGAAUAUAUAUUAGUAUCAAUAUUAUAUUGUCAAUCUAUAUGAGUCUUUACACAUUGAUUGUCAAAUCUAGAAAAAAACUAAGAAAAAGUUUAGCUUAACACAAAUCUUGAUGUAGUCAUGUUUGUGAUUAGAGAAAGUAACUCCAAAAUGGUCAUUGAGUUAAAGAAAAGCUAAAGUCGUCAUUUACACUCAGGAGUCCGCACUCCGCAUCAAAAAACAUGCUUGCUGGGUCCUUUUUCCACCCGACAUCUAAGAGCAUGGCCAACAUAAGGCCUUGGGCCUUGUUUACUUCCAACCCAAAAUCUAAAAUUUUUUAUGAUUCUUCAUCACAUCGAAUCUUUAUACACAUGCAUGAAGUACUAAAUAUAACGAAAAUAAAAACUAAUUGCAUAGUUUGGUCAAAAUUAACGAGACAAAUCUUUUGAGCCUAGUUAGUCCAUGGUUGGACAAUAAUUACCACAAACAAACGAAAGUGCUACAGUGUCGCGAAAUUUUUCCCUUCACCAACUAAACACGUUGGUGUUGUUAAAUUUUAACUCCUAUCACAUAUUUAGAUAUAUGUAUGAAGUACUAAAUGUAGACUAUUUACGAAACUAAAAACACAACUAGAGAGUAAUUUAUGAGACGAAUUUUUUAAGUCUAAUUAGUCUAUGAUUCGAUACUAAUUGUUAAAUAAAACGAAAAUGCUACAAUAACUAUUAAGCUUUAACACAUCCAACCAUAUCCUAAGAUUUUUGGCCGCCUCAGAAUAAAGUUAACAUACACGUAGAAAAGAUGGAUGGGAGUCACUGAUCUCUCCAGUGCAAGCUAACAGGUUGGUUGAUUCUGCUCCACUGCGGCCUCACUUUUCCCUCCCAAUGUUCGCUCUUGCAUGCCGGCUCCUCUGCAGCCUUAGUAACUUGUUGCAUGGACGUAACUAAAGCAAAAAAAAAAAAAAAAGGUUGGAGGUCUCGGAGUUCUUGACUUAAAACUCACAAUGAGGCACUUCUUCUUAAGCAGUUACAUAGAAUUUUCAUUUGUGAUGAAGUUCCCUGUGUGCGUUUAGUCUGAGAGAAACAUUACUCCAAAGGGAGAUUGCCAAAUCAUACAAAGAAAGGGUCUUUUUGGUGGCAAGAUAUCUUGAAAUUGCUUGAUAAAUUUAAAGGUCUGGCCUCUGUUCAGAUUAAGGAUGGAGCUUUCUGUCUUUUUUGGGAUGAUUAAUGGGAUGGUUAACCUCUCAAACUUUCUUUUCCAGAACUAUUCUCUUUUGCUAAGAAGCCAGUUAUCUCUUUCAAGAGUGUACUUGCUGUGAGUCCUCCUUUUGGCCUUUUCAACUCCCCUAUCGGUUCAGGCUUUUGCUCAAUUUUAGCGCCUGUUUGGAACGUAGUUUUUUCAUAGGAAAAGUAAAGAAAACGAAAACGGAGGAAAGGAAAAUAAGGAGACCGUUUGGAACGAAGGAAAUGAAUGAAACCUUUCCUCCGGAAGACUGUAGCAACAACACGAUUUCACAGGAAAAAAAGCAUCUGCUCUCACCUCUUGUUUUGCUUUCUUUUGCGCUUGCCCGAGAAAAAUCAAACGGGAAGAGAAAGACGAACAGCUAAUCACUAUAAGAACGGAAUGCCCCGCUGCCAAAUCCGGCCACCACGCCACUGCUCCGCUCUAGGCUGGGGCCCGCUGCCUGCGCCUGGCACUGUGCUGCUGCUCCGCCCCAAGCGCGCAGCAGGCUGCUGCUGGUCGCUGCUCCGCUCUGCGUCACGCUGCCGAGUCCGCCGGCAUCAUGCAACUAACACAGUAUAUAUUAUCAUUUUAUUAAGCACUAACAAUGACUCUUUAUCAUUCACAGACUCAUGAUUCCCUUGUUAUGAAUUCCUGUGUUCCAAACACCCCUUUCAAGUUAUUUCCUGUGUUUUUCCUUUCCUCUGUUUUACCACUACAUACUACAUCCUAUUAGAGCAACUCCAACAGCUUUGCUAUUCUUAUUAUGAAGACCUUUUAGAACUUGUAUAGCAGAAAAAUAGCCUCCAACAGAUGUGCUAUUUGGUUUUGUAAAAUAAAAAGUUUGCUAUUCCUUGAUUUUCGUUGGCCAUAUAUAGCCAACCACUGACACUAGCUAUCUGAUAGCAAGGCUGUUGUAGAUCUCUUUUUUUUAAGAAGUUUUUUAUUUUACAAAAUGGCUAAACAUUAGAAUUUGGCAACUAAUUUUAGCCAAGCUCUUGGAGAUGCUCUUACUGUGUUUUUUUCCGUUCCUCCGUUUUCUAUUCCUGCGUUCCAAACAGGCCCUUAAGAGUUGCAAGAAAUCCUGCAGAACUUAGUGCCCAGCAAUGAUUUGGAUACUUGGUACUAUAUUUGGGGAAAUACUUCUUUUACAUCCAAACAAGCCUAUAUUCAUCUAAUGGAAGUAAUGUGGUAGCUCCAAUCUUCAGUUAGAUCUGGAAAUCCUCUUGUCAGCCAAAGCAUAACGUGUUCUUCUGGCUCCUUGUACAGGAUAGGGUCAGUACCAGAAAGUUAUUGAGAAGAAAGCAUAUGUUCCUCCCUUCCUAUGAUUGUAUCUUGUGCAAUGCAAGUUUUGAAGAAAUUGUGGACCAUCUACUCCUAGAAUGUAGCCAUGCCAGGGAAUGUUGGGCCUAGAUUGCCCUAACAGUGAUUAGCUCACCGGACCUGAUCCAAAGAUUUGAAAGCUUUCAAACACAAAUUGCAAAAAUAAUUCUUCAUGGAAGUAAUUAUCAUCAUGUGCUGGAGCAAUUGGACCAUUAGAAAUGAUAAUAUUUUCAAAGGAAUCCUAGCUUGCAGCCUUCGAGACAUAGAAAUCUUCAAAAACAUCUUCAAACAACUCCUAUGGAGAACAAAGAGGAAAUAUUUUCCAGCUAUUGAGUUAUGGCUAUAGCAAGUUGUGUAAUUGCCUUAAUUUUUUUGUUUCCUUCUUUGUCCCCUGAACCCCAACCUCUCUCUCUCCCUUCUCCUUUAAGCUUUUGUAACUUCUCCUUGGUUAUAGUUUUUUUAAUAAAUUCUUCGGUAGAGGUCCUCCUGAGCCUCUCCUGUUUGUUUAAAAACACAUUAGGCCUGACGUGGUGUUCUCUUACUAAGCCUUGGCAAGGGAAACGAAUUCAUGUAUGUAUGCUUCAAUUUAAACAGUUAACAUCUCGUCCUAGUUGUAGCUUAGCUGCUUAGCGCAUGUUGUGAGUUAGUGCCACAUUGUUCAACCUGAGUAGAGGGCGACGGGAGUGAGUUCUUAGUAGGACCUAGGGCAACAUUUGUAGUUCAAUUCAUCCAUGCCCUUGGUCAUUUUGGUUGAGACUGAAUUGAUUUACAAUUAUAUAUACUCCCUUCGUCCUGGAAUAGAGUACAUUCUGGCAUUUGAGAUGUGUCCCCAAAUAUAGUACAUUCAAGGAACAAGAAGAUAAUCUUUACUUAAAUAAAGUUAUGGAAGAGAAAAGUGAUUGAGUGCAUGCCAUAUUUUCUAUAAGAAAACUUAGAUUGCACCCCUUAAUCAUGCGAAUAGGAUCAGAUUUCAAUAGAUUAGGAAGUUAAGUAAGGAGCACAUGUGUCUAUUGUCUUCUCUCUUAUUUUAUCUUAGAAUAGUCACAACGCACAGUAUUGCAGGACGGACGGAGUAGAUAUAGAUAUAGAUACAAAAGAUGUCUUUUUUGGCUCAGAAAAAGAAUUAAUUCCUUUUUAAAUUAAAGGUUUGAAUCCUUAGAAAAACCGAUCCAAAACAAUGUUUUAUAGGUGUCCGAUAUUAGUUAGAUAUAUUUUAUUCAAUUUUUAGAUAUAUGUUUUUUGGGUAUAUUUUAUUUGUAUAUCUAAUUUUUAGAUAUGUAAUAUUGGUAAUAUUUUAUUUGUAUCAGAUACCCCACAAUGUAUCUGGAUUGGAUUUAUAUCUGCUAAUAAUAUCUAAGAAAAAUAUCUAAAUCAAUAUUAGAGACUCUUUUGGAUGGUACUAAAGAAAAAUUUGUACCAUUUACAUCCUUGGCUUCACCUACCAUUGCAACUUUGGACACUAUUUUGUAUUAUAUUGCUUUUCUAGCAAAAAUGGCUCUGGGUUUACCAUAAAAAAAUGAACUACCGACUUGCUUGGGACAGAAAUAAUUUGUUGAUUGUUGUUGAAUAUAUUUUAGAGACUCAAAUAUUCAAUUUUAAAAUUUAGGUUUUCGAAUCUUUGAAAGGAGGUCGGUUAUCGAUAGUAUGUGUCAAAGUUGUGGUUUUAGUAAGACCUAUAACUUUAUAGCUGGCAACUUUUAAAUCUGAAUUCAUUGAGAGACUUAAAUAUUGGUUUUAAGUUCUAUAAUCCUGAAAAAAAAAAUUGAAUUUUUCGAAUGAUCUCACGUGUUGGUUUGGUCCACACAAAGUUGUAGCUCUCAAUACGUUAUUCAAUUUUGUAGUUAAUAAUAUCUUUUGUAUCUAGAAUCGUUUAGAGACUCAAAUUUGCUGCGGCGCCAUGUGCCAUCCACAGCCUUUAUCUGAUACUCAAGAGAUAGCCCUAUUGCUAUAUGCUAGUUUUUUCUUGCUCUUCACUGCGAACCUGCGUCACUUUUCUUGACUGAUGAUGACUAAAGCUCAAUCUGAAAUUGUAUUAUUGUUGGAAGGAAUCUCUCUGUAAGACACAAAUGUUUCAGUAACAAAAAAUGAUGGUACGGAAUCAUUCAGUAAACACACACCAACCUAAAAAAAAUAUGGCGCUUCUUCUUCUCAACGAUGAGUCUAACUGACGAGAUAUCUUGUCAAAAAAAAAAAACUGACGAGAGAUAAUAAUAUGUAGUGUAACUGUGUACCUGGACCUGAAGAACUUUACAAACCUCCAUUCUAGUGUAGAAAACGCAUCAAUUGUACAGUAUGUUGGAGAAAAAAAAAGAUUUAUGCACCACUUUUUACUAAAAAAAUAAUCUAUGACCACCAAAUGGUAUAGUUAUCCGCGUAAAGCUUGGGCUGUUUGUUUGCAGCAGACUGAGAAGGGGAAGCAGGAAGGAAGAACGAGGCAGACAGAGGUAGGCGAGGAAGGAUUCAGAGAGUUCAAUUCAGAGUUUUCUUAUUCGAUGCUUACGACUCACGUCUCUUCCCUGUUUAAAAAGUUUAUUUUGCCUUCCUCAACUAUCGUAAAAAUCAGUUUUUUCUUCAUCUCUAAACCAGACAUAGUUCCUCUCUCAUCUCUCAAAACCAGUCACUUUACCUCUAUGACUGUUUCCAUUGGUGGUUUUACUAUUUUAUUUUUAUGUUUAUUUCGGCUCAAUCUUCGAAAAAAAUUAUAAAAUAGAAAAAUUCAAUUGUGUUGGACUCUACAUGAGUAGAUCUACAUAGUGAGCAUAUGAUAUGAUAUGCUUUAGUAUAAACUUUUUUUUUGCUAAGUUACAGUUUAUCUUGUCCAAUUAUAUGAAACUUUUAUGUUGGAUUAAUAAUUUGCGUGCUUGAGACGUACUAAAGAAAAUCACGCCCGUUGGAUCAUAUAUGACUAAGUUAUAGAUUUAUCUUUUAAUUUAUCUAGGUUUAUAUAUAUAAAAAUAUAACUCAGUCAAACAUGAUCCAUUAAGUAUGAAUUUUUUUCUACAUCUCAAUAAUUCAAUGAUGAGCCCACCAUAAACAUUUUGCCAAAAAUCGACCAUAGAAAUUGGAGCUAUGAAUUAAUUACAAAAAAGUAUAGAUCUAAAGUUACAACAAAAACUUUAUACUAAAACAUACUAUAGUGUAUGUCUAUUGUGUAGAUAUUAACAUGUGGAGUCUAAAAAAAUUCAUACCAUUGGAUCAUGUAUGACUGAGCUAAAGAUUUAAUUUAAUUUAAAACUUAUUUAACAAGAUACAUCUAUAACUCAAUCAUGCAUUAUUCAAUGAGCAUGAAACUUUUAUUGUGGCUCAAGAAUGCAAUUAUUAGCCCACCAUAAAAAUUUCACCAUAAUUAGACCACAAAAACAACAGCCAUGAAUUAAUUACAAAAAACAUAAAUAUAAAGUUAAAACAAAAAAAAAUUAUACUAAAGCAUACUCACGUGGAAUCUACUCACGUGUACUAAAGCAUACUCACGUGGAGUACCAUAUCAUAUGUUCAUUGUAUAAAUCUACUCACGUGGAAUGCAACAUAAUUGGACUUUUCGUUUUACAAUUUUUCUGUGAUUUAGUAUGAUUUUUUCAAAGAUUCAGCCGAAAUAAACACAAGAGAAGUGACUAGUUUUGAGAGAUGAAGGAGGAACUAGUCUGGUUUUAGAGUUGAUGAAGAAAAACUGAUUUUUGUAAUAGUUGAGGGGGUUAAAAUGGAGUUUUUCGUUUCCUAUUACAACACUCUGGGCCGGCGUAGCGGGUGUUGAGCCUUAUCUAGCGCUUGGGCCUGGCAGCAGAAGUCAUGCAUGACUCUGCUGUCGGGCCAACAACCCAACAGAAUGGCACUACACUUUCAGCGGAUAUUGGGCCAUCGGAUUAACCGGUCCAAUCUGCUGCCAACAACAACAACAACCACCACGGAAAGUGACCAAGUUCCUGCGGUGUUGGGCCAGCCAAGUCGUCAGUCAGUCCAAUGGUGUGGGCUAGUCCGUCUAAUGGUCAGUCAGUCACAGUUAGACGUGGCUUUGUUCCCUUAUCUUUUAUACCUCACAGUAUUCUUCUUUCACGAUAAAUCAGCGAACGCUCUCUUUUAGCUAUAACUUUUCAGACAAGCUAAUACAUGUCUCCUUGCUACUCCUUCCUACACGCUGGAUUCAUGACGCAACGUACGGGAAAAAGACGCAACUCGCCAGCACGUCGCUCAGGAAUCAGGAGCAGAAAUGUCAACAGGUGUAGUAACAAAUUAAAUUACUGAUGAGAGCGCACUGGUUGUUCGUCGCACUAUGCAGAGCUCCCCGCUUUCAUCUGGUACAGGCGAGUGCAUAAUUUUACAUUAAACAGACAGCCCUGGGAAUGUGGCAUGGGUAGUAGCUAGACUCGUUCCGUCCAACAGCACUGCUGCAUCCCCGUGGUCAUCGUGUACUGCGUAGUGUAGACUAGUGGUAAUUACUAUUCUAAUGGAAUAGUAAUUGAACAUGCGAAUCCAAUUUGUACUCGCCAAUACCAAGUCAUCUGACAUCCCCCAUGCCUGCUUGCGUUGAAACCCGAGAUCGGCUCUCAAGUAGGCGUAGUCCCGACUGAGAGGUAUGGACGGAUCGACUAUGGACAGAGGGAAGAGGGAGGCUUCAUCAAAUUUACGCAGUGUAAAUACUGGUGAAUAAUAACCCACGACACAGCCAUUAUGUGCACACGGUGAAAACGGCGAGUGUGCUCCGCAUUCAUGCCCAGCCUAAAUAAACAGUGAAGUGGUCCUGCUCGUUGUGAUGACGAGGCUUCCUAUAAGUACCAGUACCACCUAGUAGAUGCUUAUCUGACUGGCCGUAUUCGUGGGAGCCAGAUUCAGUAACUUUACAGAGCAAAGUCACGUUGUAACUUUCUUUGAAUCUCCAUCCUCCAGUUAGCAUCGGACGGCUACAAUACUUCUUGAGGCCCAGUUCCGUUCCCGCACGAAAGCGGCCGCGCGCCAGAGUCCGCAGGAGCGCCGUCGCCCGUCGCCAUCGCUAUCACGGACGGCCGCAGCUGCCACCAGAAGCCGCACCCACCGCCAGAGCCUGUAGGAGUGCCAUCGACCAUCACUGUCGUGGGCAGUGCGUGCAGCAUUGUGGAUGCCGCGGCCUCAACCGUGUCGCUGGCUCGCGGAAUGCGCGAUUGGAGCGAGGAUCGACGUGGGUAGGCUGGCGGAUUUCUUGCUCGCCAAUGUGGCCGACGACUCGAAGGCAGCGGUGCCCGGCCGAGUCAUCCGAGCACUCCUACAGGCUGCCAUUUUCUAGUCGCGAGUGCGCGGCGAGCGUCGAGUGAUGCGCCUGGCUGCAGCCCCGGCCAUGGUGCACGCCACGACGGAGCUCGGCCAGUGCUGCUACUGCUGGUGCAAGAGCUCGCCGGCAAGGGGACAACAAAUAACAUGGCCACCAGGUUCGUCGCGUAUGCAAGAGUCGCCAUGCCGAUACAUGCCAUCGACUUGGUUCUUGCCUGUUCCGGCCAGGCGACAUCCUCACCUUCAUGCUCUGUCGUCGCCAGGACGCAUCCACGUGCAUCCAGCAGGCAGCUUCCCAGGUUAAAAUGGCCAAGUUCAGAGAUUGCUUUUGCUUGAGAUCACUAGGUCCAUUAGAUUUUGAAUGGACGCACCAGAUGAACGGAAAGUUACAUCGUGACUUUAUAGAGUAAAGUCACUGAAUCCAGCUCCUCGUAUUCGUGAGCUUCCAGAGAGGUCCAUUAUUUUCAGGAUCACCAGCACCCCCCUCCCGCGUGGCUCCUACAGUAGAAAGCCCGUACACCACGUACGCCGCCGAAUCAUGGCGCGCGUGCUUUGCGUCAAAAGCAAGGGCUCGCUCCGUCCUAUCCUUUUCCUAUCUCGUCAGUCAUCCAUGCCAAUCAGAUCCAUCGCAGCAGCUAGCAUCUCCAUGCAUUUGCAUUUGCAUCCACGAGCGAGAGCGAGACCAUGCAGUGCCGGCCCUGAAUUUUUUGAGGGCCGGGGCGGAAAAAAAAUCUGGGGGCUUUAUACAUUAUUAAGUUCCCAAAAACCAAAAAAAGUUUAAAAUUUUUCGUCACAUCAAAUCUUACGGCACAUGCAUAAAACACUAAAUAUAGUCAAAACCAAAACUAAUUACACAGUUUGCCUGUAAAUCGCAAAAUGAAUCUUUUGAGCCUAGUUAGUCCAUGAUUGGACAAUAAUUGCCAAAUAAAAACGAAAAUGCUUCAGUACCUAAAACAAAAAAAUUUAGGAACUAAACAAGGCUUAAGGAAAUUUUUUUGGUUUUAGCUACUGUAGCACUUUUGUUUAUAUUUGGCAAUUAUUGUCCAAUUAUAGACUAACUAGGCUCAAAAAAUUCGUCUCACCAAUUACAGGUAAACUAUGUAAUUAGUUAUUUCUUUUAUCUUUAUUUAAUGCUCCAUGCAUGCGUCUAAAAAUUCAAUGUGAUGAGAAAUCUUAAAAAAUUUUAGAAACUAACAAGGUUGUAGUUGUUGUUAUUCUAGGCCUGAUUGGUUCCUCUCGCUAAAUUUUAGUCACUUUAAUAGCUAAACUUUCAAACACAUUAACUAAAAAAGAGCUAAAAUAGUUUAGUUACACAAGUCACCCAAGAGUAGCUAAAAUAGUUUUAGCUGGCUAAAAUUUAGCAGGAGAAACCAAAUAGGGCCUAAAUAUUCUACAUCGUAAGCCAAAACUAAGCAGAAAAAAUACAGAAUAGUAUUGAACAACGUUGAAUAUCAUUGUUUAAUAUAAUAGUUCGGAGGUGUAGAAUAGUACUUGUAUAUAUAUACUCAUAAAUACUUAACUCUACAUGCAAAAGCAAUAUUCAUAUGCAACAAUUUAUAUAAAUAUACAAAUACAUUAAAGAUUAUUGUAUGGUUUGCAUAUUUGGGGGUGGGGCCCUGUCUAAUUGGGGGCCAGGGCGGCCGCCCCGCUUGCCUGCCUCCAGGACCGGGCCUGAGACCAUGCUAUAUAUAUAUAUAUAUAUAUAUAUAUAUAUAUAUAUAUAUAUAUAUAUAUAUAUAUAUAUGCAGAUUUGUGUGCCAGCUAAGCCGGCAGGUGGCCUGGCCCGAUACGGAACAUCUGCGAGCCCUGUAGAUAUCCCGGCUGACAGGUGGAGUCGAGUCCAAUCUCCGGAGAUUAGCGGGAGAUGGAUGGAUAACCUCGUGGGAUCAGCGGCGGAGCCAGGAUUUAAAUCUUGGGUAUUCCUAGUGUCUGGUGGGCCACCACUCAGUUGUUGCCUCUAACCUCAUGACCGACGUAUGUCUUCACCGGUCGCCAUGUAGACAUAGCAUAGAGACAGAGGCCGCGUCCGUGCUACACGCUUCUAGGAUGAGAGUAACUACACGCGCGUGUAAAAGAAACGCGUCCUAUAUAUAUAUAUAUAUAUAUAUAUAUAUAUAUAUAUAUAUAUAUAUAUAUAUAUAUAUAUAUAUAUAUAUAAAAUAGGGUGAGUUUUCUAUACUCCUAGGAGGAGUAGUUACUCCCACUAUAUUUAUUGGGUAUAUGUCCAUUAUCAAAACCCGUUAAAUACUCCUGCACUUUUGUGUAGUUGUUGUGCCCGCUUGCAUGCGGACGAAGAGCCACAAGACGUUACAUGUCCAUAUUUUGUGGCGUAUGUUUGUUGCUUCUUUCAAAUAAAAUAAAAUGGAUACUAAAUUCUUUAUUGACGUAUAUAUUUUUGUGUAAAUAAAAUAUGGACACUAAGAAAAUUUGUAUACUUAUACUUGGGAGUAUAUCCAUAUACUUCGGAAAUUAUUUUAGUAUAUCCAUAUACUCAUGGAAUUUUAGUAUAUCCAUAUACUUGAGCGUAUAUUUGGGAGUAUGUCCAUAUACUAAUGAGAUUUUAUUAUAGAGUAUAUGAACUAUUUAUAGGAGAAAAAAAUAGUAUGCUAAAUGUGCACAUAUUUUUUUUACACGAGUAGUUCGCAAAUAUUGAUAUGAGUAUACUAGUAUGCGUACAGACUUUUGACAGGAGCUGGCCGUGAGUUUCCGUCCCGAUCGGAAGUGACGGAUGGGGUGAAGCAGAUCUGAGAUCUGCUAGCUAUAUAUGUACGUAUUUAUAUUCAAUAUUCAAAAUACGAACGGGUCCGUUUUUUUUCUUUAACCCGCUAACGAGAACCCAGCGCCACGUUAGAGCAACUCCAACCAUUAUGCAAAUGGAAUUGACAUUUACCAAAAUACAUAAAACUCCAAAAAAAACCCCUCCAAUCGUUAUGCAUUUGGACUUUGCAUUUUACAUAGCUAUGCAUUUGGAGGGGGAAACUUGGCAUAUAUGCCAAAGAAGUCCGGCUAUGUAAAUAGAGAUCACGGGAUUCUCGGUUCCACCUCGCAGGCUUUUUUCUUCCCUUCGCGCGGUUUCCCUUCGCGCCGCCACCACUUCGCGCGAUUGGAGAAGCAUCGCGCGUCCUCCUUCGCCAGCUUGACUGAUGGCGGCGACCUGAUGGAGAUCGAUACUGGAGCCAAGGGGCGAACCUAUACGACGACAAACUGAUGGCCAACAGACGACGAACUGGUACGGUGAACGAGAACUAACGGAACGGGAGAUCGGUACUGCGAUCGGUACUGCGAACGGGAACGACGAACUGCGCAGCUCACAAUCGGUACUGCGCGGCUGUUUGGCGCGGGAAUUGGUGAACGGGAGACGACGGCGGGCUGUUUGGCGCGGGAUCGAUUGACCGCGCGGGAAGGAGUGCCGCGAAACAAAAUUUUCGGAAAAAAAAAGAAGAUGGACUCGGCAUUUUGCAUAACGGUUAGAGAUCACCCGAUUUUAGCCUUGUUAUUUUUAUUUGGGGGUUUGCAAUUUACCUAAAAUGCAUAACUUCAAAUGCAUAAUGGUUGGAGAUGCUGGCUCAGUCGUAUAAAUCUAGGUGGGAGUAGCUACUACCAGGGAGUAGGAAAAAUUUACCAUAUAUAUAUAUAUAUAUAACCUAUUCUACACCCUAGGUGUAGAAUAUUAUUUUACACCGCAAAUCAAAACUGAGUAGAAAAAAAUACUGAGCAACACUGAAACGCGUUCAGUAUCAUCUAAUACUACACUCAGGACCACGAAAUACUGAACAAUACUGAAACGCGGAUACUGAACAAUACUGAAUUCUGCUCAGUAUAACAGUUUGGUGUGACGGAGAAUUUUGAAAAUUUUUACGAACUAAACAAAGCCUAACUUUGCUCGAAAUGACCAUACACUUCGUAUAAAAUACGUCAUGCUUUGCGCUUACCAAAGUUUCCCUUUUUUUCACUGGGGUUAGGCCUUGUUUAGUUUACUCUGAAAACCAAAAAUUUUUCAAGAUUCUCCGUCACAUCGAAUCUUAUGUCACAUGCAUAAAACAUUAAAUAUAGACAAAAACAAAAACUAACUAUACAGUUUAGCUGUAAAUCACGAGACGAAUCUUUUGAUCCUAGUUAGUCUAUGAUUGGAUAAUAUUUGUUACAAACAAAUGAAAUGCUACAGUACCGAAAACUUUUCACUUUUCGGACUAAACAAGGCCUUAGUAGAGAAAAGGCCUCUCAUUCGAUGAGGAACUUUCUAGAAGUACGCGAGAAUCUCAUCUGCUCGAACGAAAGAAUUACAUACACCAAGUGCCAAGGACAGACAUAUACAUACUAUAAUAUGGAUUGUCAUGUAUGCCCAUGCCAGGAGGUGGGUUGAAAAAUUUCACAGUACAAUCAUGCAUACACUUAAUAAUGGUAUACAAAGCAGUACAUAUUUGAUAUUUUGCAGUACAGAUCCAGAACCAUAGCACCGUAGCACGUGCCCUCGGCCUAAUGUUCCCUUAAAGGAACUAAAGAAAAGCUCUGUUAAUUGCAGUCAUCACACAUUCUCACUGCAAUGCAAGAUACUGUGUCACAGUCAACCUUUUUCUUGUGUGCAGGCAAUGCACGGACCCACACACUGCACUCGUAAUUUAUGUAACACUCUCGUGAUGGUCAUGCAUGUUACUAGCAACUUAUGUGAGACUGCAAAUCUCUGCAACACUGCUGCAAAAGGGUUGAAAAAUGAAAAGCAGACCUAUGGGAAUGUGCUUUCAUUUUCAUAUUCAUGAUAUACUGGCAAAGCGAUGCUAUUUUCAUUGUGGCCUUGCAUGUGCAGCGAGGGAGCACCUUUCAAUCGCAGUGGCACCCAACCAACCAAGCCUUGCCAUUUGCCAAACCAUAUACCUUGCGGUAACAUUGCUAUGAUACUAGCUAGCUAGCUGGCGCGCGAGAUCGAUCUUUUUCUUGCCAUUUCAGGGCACCGAGACGUGCAUGCCAAACCUAGCUGAGCAACAGCAACAGCUUUGGAGGUAUAUAUAUGUAGUGAACCAUGCAUGAUACCAAAGAGCUGGCUAUAGCUAUUCAGGCCUUGUUUACUUCAACUGAAAAACUAAAAAGUUUUUCAAGAUUCUCCGUCACAUCGAAUCUUGUGGCAUAUGUAUGAAGCAUUAAAUAUAGACGAAAACAAAAACUAAUUACACAGUUUGUCUGUAAAUCACGAGACGAAUGUUUUGACCCUAGUUAAUCUAUGAUUGGAUAAUAUUUACCACAAACAAACGAAAGUACUACAAUAGUAAAAUUUAAAAAGUUUUCACAUCUAAACAAGGCCUCAGUCGUCUCCUUGGUGUGAAAUGGAUGAAACUGUAGGUGUUCUGUAUGCAUGCAUCAUAGCAAGAUAUGUACUAGUUCCUAUUGCUGAUGAGCUCACUCGAGCAGUCGAGCUGCAUUGCUGCAUGUUACAAAAAAGAAAAAAAUCUUCAGUCGGUUCAUCAGUCCCGUCUCACCUUGCUAAGGCCACAUUUGGAACACAGAAAUCUCACAAAACAGCAGAAAAGGAAAACUAUAGCUAAUACGACGAAACAUUUGGAACACAGAAAAUCUCAAAAUACUUUAUUGUACAUGAAACAGGUUACGCAAAAAAAAAAAAACUAUAGCUAAUACGACGAUUCCCACCGACAGGAUGCAGGUUACCGAGACACAGUCUUAUGUAACCCUCGGAUAUUUUGGUUCUGGAAGUACUGAUGGUGUCCGCCAAAACAAACACUCUAGUGCGUGCCGCUGGGCGAUUUUCAGGGCGGUGUUUGUGCCUGUGCGUGGCCACACCAAUAAAGACGAGCUGAACAUGAGGAGGACGAGAGCAUCUCGAUCUCGAUUUCCGGGGAAAUGAUCGAUUUCGCCUGUUUUCCUGUGGUUUUUGUUCGGCGGACGGACGGGGAGGAGGGGGAAGAAGACAACCGGCUCAGCUUUUUCAGCGACGAUCAAAAAUGCCUUUGCUCUUUUGUCAAAAAAAAAAAAAAGCCUUUGCUCAGAUGAAUGCACAUGCAGAGCUUCUCGUCGUCGUCAGCGAUUUGUGGGUGGGCAAGCAACAUCCUCUCCCUUUCCUCCUGCAGAACCGCGUAACAUUUUCACACUACACGAGCUCCUUGCACUUGCAGAAUGAGGGGUGUGUGUGUGUCUACUCAAAAUUUCUGCAACUUUCCCUAGGGCAGAACGAGAGAACAUGCUGAAAUGCUCUGGGUAAGGUAAAACAAGAGCCAAAAUGCACAAAAGCAUACUUAGACCUUGUUUAGUUUUACAAAUUUUCUUUUUGUCCCAUCAUAUUGAAUCUCUAGACACUUGUACAUAAAAAAUUACACAAUUUACAUGUGAUUUAUGAGACGAUUUUUUAAGUUUAAUUAAUCUAUGAUUAGAUAUUAAUUGUCAAAUAAAACAAAAAUAUUAUGGUAGUUAAAUCCAAAAAAGUUAACGAACUAAACAAAGACUUAAUAACGAAGCCAUAUUCCUAAAAGGUGGCAGAUGUGGAUCCAUUAUUUCACUGCUUAUCUUCGGUUGAACACAUUAGUUAUAUGUAGGGAUGAAAACGGAUCGGAUACGAACGGAUAUCACUGAUAUCAUAUUUGUUUUUAUAUUUUUGGUCGGAUUCUGUCACACCCGAUUUUAAAGAACAAAACCAGGCUAGCCAUAUGUGUGCCCAGGAAGUCCACACAUACAACAACAGAAGCAAUAAUAUCAAAAACAAUGUUAUAUAGCGGAAACAUACUUAUAAUUAACACUUACAUCAGAGAAUCGUAACACAAUAACUAAUCUUCAGGCUCAAUCUUCACAGGGACGACUGACUGGGGGUAACAUAUGCCUAGCACUUCUUGUAUCCUGAUAACGUCCUUCGUAACUCCUUCGCUCCUCUGAUAACUCUUAGUAGUAUACUGGAGUGGUGGGAAAUAGCAAGAGUGAGCACAUAUCGUACUCAACAAGUAUAACCAAGGGUUCAUGAGGCUCAAAUGGCUGACACUGGUUUAACUGCAUUUAGCUUUUAAUAGUGGAGAGCAUGUUCAUAAUUUAAUAGCAAUUGUCAAGGUAGCAGUAAUAAUCCAUUAAUCACAUGAUCAAGUGUAAGCAUAAUUAAUUAUUAGCAUAAACGAUAAUCAAAUGAACAUAACAACUUAACAAGCUCAUCGUCGUCGCAGCAAGAACCCCCAAGGCCGCUCUUAACCGUGAGCACGGCUAGUAUACUAGUUUUAACACUCUGCAGAGGUUGUACAUCUUUACCCAUGAGUCAUGAUUUACCCUUUCGCCCGAGGUGAUCAGCCUCUUAACCCACUCCCAAGGAAGGUCGGCAGGGAUCACUAUGAAGCCUUUCAAAAGUUCGUCUAACAUGUUAGGGCCGCAAGGUUUCCUUUGCGAGCAGAUAUAGAUACCCCCCUUCCGAAUGGCACAAUGACGCGCAGCCUAUACACAUAGGGACAGGGGCUCGCACUAUACCCGUGUCGGUUCAGCCCCUCCGCCCUUUCGGGUAACCUCUAACAAGCUAGAAAAGGUCUUCAUACUGAGCUAAAGCCAGAGCCAUUAUAGCCCUCAUGGUUGCACUGUUGUCCCGGUGAUCACUUACAGACAAGAUCUCAUAUAGUUAUUUGUCAUCUUUUAACGUUCAUUGCAUAGCUAUUAAUCAUCUUACAAGAUCAUGGAUUAUAUCAAGCACUAGCACAUCUACACCAAAUGCAUAUCAAGUAGGUAACAAGGAAUCCAGGUAACAAUCAUCUAUGAUUUUGCUAAGGUCGACAAGGUGAUAGCAUGCAUAUGACAUAUAUGUGUAGUUAUAAGUGAAUAGGUAACAAGGAUGAUCCCAAGUUAUACUUGCCUUAAACACUUGCUUAAUCCUCACAUCAUCAGCUUUCUGUCAUCAUCUUCUGAUCUUCAAUGCCCACAAACAGUUCUCGUCUACUCGCAUGAAGCACCACGCAUAGGCAAACAUACAAAGCAACAAAUAAAAGAAACUAAGAACAACACACCAAUCAAAAAAAGAAAGCCUUAAAAGAGAGCGCACUAAACGUUACGGGUCGAUGCUAAGGUUAUGAGAAACGCCGAAAGCAAAACUAUCGUAAUAAAGAAAUGACUACCUGUAGUUUUGGAUAAUUUAAAAGAGACAACAAUGAUCUUAAUAUGUUUUAUUUAAGAACAAUCAUGCGUAACCUACUAAUUCAAAUUAGUCAAAUUAUAUUUUAAUUUUAAAAACAAAGUAGAACUUAUUAUAUUUUAUUUAUGAAUAUAUCUAUUAUAUAAUCGAUAAUCAUAUUUUAAAUAUAGGCAUGCAAGCAUCAUUUUAAUCAAAGUAAACUUUAACUUUUUAAAGAAUAUGUGAGAACAUCUAUUCAAAUUAUACAUGAUACGUGUUGGAGAUGAUCAUAUGUUAUUCAUACAUAAUUUUAUAUCGUUUAUGCCAGUUAAACUUUAACUUAUAAAAUUACGUAACAUGUGAGCACUAAAAUAAGUUUAUGGUAUAUAUCGUGAUUGUCUAAGCAAAAUAUAAUUAAAACAUAUUCAAGUUGCUAUUAAUUAAAUUCAUGCUCACAUAAUUACAAAGGAUAGACAAACCCAUAUUAUUUUAAUUAUAAAACUAACUAUAAGGAUAUUGAGCAAUUAAAUAUUUAGAAAUAUAUAGAAAACAUGUGACAUGAAAAACACUAGCACUAACGCGUAGAUUACAUUGAUAUGAGUCUAAUGCAACUUGAACAAACAAACUCAGAGUUAAAAUGAGUAUUUUAUAGCUAAAACAAGCUAAUGUAUUUUCUCUAUAUUUCUAGAUUUGUUUUUCUAAAGGAAAACGGUGACAAAACUUAUCCACGACAUCACGUAUUCAUGGAGCAAAAAGAAAUUCUAAAUCUGAUUUCUUUUACCACCGAUUAACAAAAGUAAUACAUAAAUGUUGAUUUCUCGCUCGAUCCGCGUGCACUGAAAAUUCUGAAAUUCACCCACAAACCACAGUCCUAAUUACCUUGAUCCAUGUGUGUCGGUGAGAGUGAAAGCCAGAGAACGCAGCGCCGGGCAGCGGUAAUCGGUAACAGCAGCAUGGACUUCCACCUCUGCACAGUACCACCGAUCAACACAGAGGACAACAGUUUCUGCAGUGCGCCGAUUGAUGAAACGGAGGAAAUCGACGAGCAGAUGAAUUCGUCCAACAGCCGAAAAAUACUGUACCCGAUGACGACUGCGGUGGCCAGGAUGGAGUAGGACGGCAUGGCUCUAGGGGAGAUUAGUCGGCACCGGCGGCGGCAGAUACGAUCUAGGGCAAAAGCAAGAGCCUGUUCUGUUGCAAGAUAUAUAUAUAUAUAUAUAUAUAUAUAUAUAUAUAUAUAUAUAUAUGCUAGAAGAUAUGGGCCAUUUUAAGAUCAAAAAGGAGUUGGCUUCCUGGUCUCCCUACGAUAAGACGUCGGACAAAUUGAGCUGCGGUCGGAUGGUGGGUUUGAGCCCAAAUUAGCAAGAAUUUUACACAAAGUAAAAGGGAGCUUUAACAAAAGCAUGACAAACUCAUGGGUGAAUUGGAAGAUGAAUCCAAAUAAAGUAUUUAGAGCUCAUGAAAAGAUAUCUAGGAGCAUCUAGAAAUUAGAUUAUGCUCAGAGUCAAGUGGAAAUAAAUUCCAGGAAAAAUGCUGAAAAUAAUUCUUCAUACGUUUUAAUAGGUCGGUUCAUGGAAGGUGUACCCAAAGGAAUAAUUUAAAAUAGAAUAAAGGGAUAUGGAAACUCUAAAUAAAAAGAUUAAUGAUCAAGAAAGAGAAGACUUGAUUAUAUAGAAAAAAAACUGGAGACACGCCGGAUAGAGAUCAACGACUUACUAAACGCGCUUAUUAAAACUGCACCCGCUCACAACACAAAGUCAAGCGACAAGCAAGCAUCACCUCACAUCAACAAAAGCUCAUCAAGUUAAUUCAAAACAAAUUUGAAAAUUAACAUUCUCCUAUAACUAAAUUUGCAGUGACUCCAAACUAAACUUGGUAAAUUUUAUCCAAAUAUCAAAAUAUAUAUUUUUGUUAAUGUUUUCUACGCACAGCCCAAAAUCAAAAAUUUUGGGGUGUGACAGAUUCGGAUUCGAAUACGGAUAAUAUCAACAAUGUCGGAUAAGAUACGAUUGGAUGUUGACAUCAUAAAUAUACGAUUUAAGUAUUCGGAUACGGAUACGGUAUCGGAUAUUAAACAUUCAGACUCGAAUACGGACAGAUCUCAACCCCUCUAAACGAAUUCGGUCUCGAAUACGGUCGGAAAAUAUCCGUACCAUUUUUAUCCCUAGUUAUAUGACUUUAAUUUUACCGUCGAUGAGAGGGUAAGUGGGCAACACGGUAUAUAUAUAGUAGUAGUGUGUCAGUGUAAGAUUAGACCUUGUUUAGUUUCAAAAAAUUUUCAAAAUUCCUCGUCACAUCAAAUCUUACGGGAUAUGCAUGAAGCAUUAAAUAUAAAUAAAAAAAAGAUAACUAAUUACACAGUUUAUCUAUAAUUUGCAAGACGAAUCUUUUGAUCCUAAUUAGUCUAUAUUUAAAUAAUACUUAUCAAAUAAAGCCGAAACUGCUACAGUAGCGAAACCCAAAUUUUUUCGCGGAUUAAAUAUGUAUAGUAAAAGAAUUGUUACAAUACCUCUCAAAAUCUUUAAAAACACUCAUAGUUGGUAUCACGAACAAAUAUUUUCUGAUUCCUAUGAUUUUCAAUUCAUCGAUUUUUUAUCUUAUUUAUCGCUAAGUAGGUGUGUAGUUUAUUGCAGUUUACUUUAGAGGUGUCCUGUCUAAUUUCUGAUUCAUGUAUUUCUUACGUUUGUCAGUUUACAUACCUAACCCAAGGUUGUUGAUGUCUAUUCACGUACGUGGUAACUUAGGAUGUGUUAGCUAGCUAAUUUCUUAUUCAUGAGCUAAUUGUUAGCGAGCUAAUUGUAGCUAGCUUAAAAUUAGUUCUAGUGUAUCCAAACAUGAGUGCUAAUAGGACUAAUUUUUUAAGCUAAGUUUUCAACUAGUUAGUCAGCUAGCUAGCCAACCAUAGAUAUUUCGAACCAAAUUUUAGCUUAAGUACCAAUAACUAGCCAUGUAUCAAACAAUCCCUAAGUAGUCCAUUCCCCACAGUUGACGUCUUGGCGCCACAUACUUUCUUGGAGGCGUUGUUCUUCGAGCCCCAUGCUCGUAUGCCAUCAUGGCCAGAUUCAAGGGCGAAAGUCCCGUCUUGGGUGUCUCUAAGGCCAAUGCGACGCGUCCAUAGUUUCUAUGAGCGUCCUCCCCUUGCUGAAGUGGCCUUUCUACCGUCGGCUUCUCAGGAGUCCCUGACUAUACCUGUUGUGUUUCAUUUCCACUUGCUUUGGUCUAUUCUGCAGUUGUUGAUAGAGCGAAUCUAGGAUAUUAUGUCACUGGGGUCAAGGACUAAACAACGGGGUCAACACACAUGUUAAUUCUCUAUUUAAAAGAAUAAUUUGCAGGUCGAUUAAAGAGCUUUAAGUGAAUUUUUGGCAAGUUAUCGGGGUCAGCUGACCCCAAUGAAUACACAUAGAUUCGCCUCUGGAUUGUUGACCUUGUCCGCUUGGUCAUCGUUGGUUAUCAUAGUGGUUGCUUAGCUACUAUUGCUGCUCUCUUGGCAGAUGCUUUGCCGCCGUUUAGUUCGUUGGCAGAUGCUCUAAUUUGCUGCUGAUUGGUUUGUUGAUGGAUGCUUUGCCACCCUGUCGUCGACCUCCUUUCUACUAGUUCAUUUGCUACCGAGACUGAUCUGGUUCGUUGGCGGAUGCUUUGCCGCUGUUUUGUUCGUUGACGAAUGCUUUACCGUCGUUGUUGUUGGACGGUCCUCUGUAUUGACGACCACUACAUUGUUGCAUUGCAGGCACAGUUUUAGGUUUUGGGUCUUGAGGAUAGUCGCUCUCCUCUUUGUAUCUUUGUUGUUCCUAUAUUUAUUCUAGAUUACUCAAUAUUAUCUUAGUGGUUUGUAAUCUAUGAGGGUUUUCUUAUAGCUGACUUAUAAUUCACUCCUUUUAAUAAAAAAGUGGGCUAUAUCCCCAAAUCGUGAAAAAAAUAGUUAAAGGGGUGAAGUAGAUUUUUUUUCUCAAAAGAAUAUUGUUGAAUGAAUGACAGGACUUUGAUGAUAUCAAGUUAUCUGCUCCUGAAAACAACUGCUCAAAGGACUAUGGCCUUGUUUAUAUCAAAAAAAAAUUUAGAUACCGUAGCAUUUUUGUUUUUAUUUGACAAAUAUUUUUCAAUCAUGGAGUAGCUAGGUUUAAAAGAUUCGUCUCGCGAUUUACAGGCAAACUAUGCAAUUAGUUUUUAUUUUUAUCUAUAUUUAAUGGUCCAUGCAUGUGCCGCAAAAUUUGAUGUGCAGAAAAUCUUAAAAAGUUUUUGAUUUUUAGGGUGAACUAAGGCCUGGUUUAGUUGGCAAAAAAUUUAGAUUUCGAGUACUGUAACACUUUCGUUUUUAUUUGACAAACAUUGUCCAAUCAUGGAGUAAUAACUAUACUUAAAAGAUUCAUCUCGCGAUUUACAGAUAAAUUGUGUAAUUAAUUUUUAUUUUCAUAUAUAUAUUUAGUGCUCCAUGCAUGUGCCGCAAGAUUCGAUGUGACGGAGAAUCUUAAAAAAAAUUUGGUUUUUGCGGUGAACUAAACAAGGCCAUAUAUUAGUGUGCUGUGUUUCCCCCUACGAAGCAUUGUGGAGUCGUGCUUGAUCCACGUCGUUUGAUCUGGGCGAGGUGCACAAACGUCACAUGGCUCUUCUUGCUACUUCAGUGCAAAGGGAGUGUAUGCAUGCACACAAUAAUGCGGCCUGCGUCUGUGUACGGUAGAAAAAUACUUUAUACAGGAUAUGCAACGACGUGAAUGCUGCACCUGCCCCCUGCCCCUGCCCCUGCCCGCCCUAGUAGCUAUUCACGGCUCUAUCCAUUCCAUUGCCGUGCGUCAACAGGUCCAGACUGGCCCGGGUCCAAGCGAGUGACCAACGCGGGAAGCCUCCCGUCCCUCCCUCCCCCACAUGGGACAUGGCUGCCUGAUGAAUGCCUCUCGCCGCACUGCCCCUGCCCCUGCCCCUGCCCCUGCCCUCACUCCAUCGGAGGGCGGCGGCUUCACGAGAGCCGAGCAGGACCCAGACCCAGCGGGCAUCCGAGGCCCCCACCCCCACCCCCACCCCUUCCUCCGUGUAUAAAAGCGGUGCCAGGGUGAGCGUCUCUCCUCACACUGACUGCACCAGAACAAGAGCUUGAGAGUGAGAGUGAGGAUGAUGGGUGGCAAGGCCGCUCUGCUGCUGGCCCUGGUGGCCGUGACCCUGGCCGUCGUGGAGAUCCAGGCCGACGCCGGCUACGGCUACGGCGGCGGCUACCCGACGCCGACGCCGAAGCCGCCGGCCAAGGGGCCCAAGCCGGAGAAGCCCCCGACCAAGGGCCACGGCCACAAGCCGGAGAAGCCGCCCAAGGAGCACAAGCCGACUCCGCCCACCUACACCCCGAGCCCCAAGCCCACGCCGCCGCCGGCUACUCCCAAGCCGACGCCGCCCACCUACACGCCGAGCCCUAAGCCCAAGUCGCCGGUCUACCCUCCCCCGCCGAAAGCCAGUACUCCUCCGACCUACACCCCGAGCCCCAAGCCUCCGGCGACCAAGCCGCCUACCUACCCGACCCCCAAGCCACCAGCUACCAAGCCUCCGACACCUCCUGUGUACACUCCGAGCCCCAAACCACCGGUUACAAAGCCUCCUACACCCAAGCCGACCCCGCCGGUGUACACGCCGAACCCCAAGCCACCGGUUACCAAGCCUCCGACACACACGCCGAGCCCCAAGCCUCCGACAUCCAAGCCGACUCCGCCGGUGUACACACCGAGCCCCAAGCCACCGAAGCCGUCCCCGCCGACGUACACGCCGACCCCGAAGCCACCGGCUACCAAGCCGCCCACCUCAACUCCGACGCACCCUAAGCCGACGCCGCACACGCCUAUCCCCAAGCCCACGCCGCCAACCUACAAGCCGGCACCGAAGCCGACGCCGCCGGCGCCCACCCCGCCGACAUACACGCCGCCGGUGUCGCACACCCCCAGCUCGCCGCCGCCGCCGCCGCCGCCGC